GUCAGUUUCUUCCGAUCUAGUAUCUGUUUCUUCCAAUCCAGUUUCUUCUCCAGCUGCUGAUGCAGAUUAUGGGCAUUCGGCUGAGGCUUCCAUAUUAGAUUCCACUUAUUUACUUAGCGCUUCAGAACCCCUGCUUGUUUCAAGAGGCUCAAUAUAAAGAAUCCAAGCUUGUUAGCCAGAGGCGAGGGAGAGGUCAAUUCUUGCUUUUGAGUUUCACUAGGCCAAGGUGAGUAUUGAUAUUGAUCUGUAUUUGCAGGAGCAGGCCCAGACUCAGUGUUAACGGGAGAGUUGCCUUACUUAUAUUACGCCAGUUCUUUACCCCUAUGAGAGAUGAGAGCCGAAUGAAGUUAAUAGUUGACAGCUUAGCUUGUUGAAAGAAGUAGGCGUGGUAGUCCUGUUCGAGUAGUUUCAUCUGUAGUUGGUGAAUACCGAGUGUCAUCCCAAACUAGUAGUAGUCCCGACCCGACCUCUCAACUGAAAGUCUAUAUUUGCUAUCCAAAAUCCCGGGUUUCUUAAAAAAGAUCAUUGGAUUGGAUCGGUUCAGGAGGCAAAACUCGUUUGCUACCUUUUUUCCCGGGAAAACGCAAAAGUGGAGGAUCAAUCUUAUGGUUUAGGAGGGAAAUUCUAUUUGCUAUGAAAAAACACGGGAAAACACAUCUUUGACCCCGCCGCUACACACUAGUAGUUACUUGGCUCAUAGCAAAGCAGACUUCACUGGGGUAGCUGGACUGAGCCCCGGUAGUUAAAGAACCAAACCAGUCAAUCCUUAACUCGCUACCGCGUCACAUUAGUAGUGCCUUGGUGAAUUAGACCUAAGUAGUAGAGAGGGGAGCCUGUAGCAAGUGGGUCUCUUCUUUGGGGUCGAGUAACUAAGAUAUCGAAUAGGGUAUUUCAAAACUUCUAUUUCAUGAGUGGUUUCAUCCCGAGCUGCAGAAGUGGAAUACGUUGUUUCAUCUCAAAGGGGAGUUAAAGAAUCCCGCAGUAGCAAGUGGUAGUCCUGUGGAAUCAGAGGUUUAGUCCAGUAGUAGAGUAGUUAAGAGCUUCUUUGGAGCAAGUAGUUUCGUAGUUUCAUCAGUAGUAAUAGCAAAGCCAGAGCCUGUACCAAGCACACUAGCUUAUGUAGUUCCUGCUCUAGCUUAUGUAGUGACUAGGCGUCUUGUCUAUCCGUUACUUGGCUCAUAGCAAUUCCAGUCUUGGUCUUGUUCCAGAAAUAGACCCAUAGCUCCAUCCUCUUUUUCUUAUUGAAAGAAGUAACAGUCCGGGUUGGGAGUAGUAAAGGGAGUUUGUAGAGGUGUGUCCUCUUAACGAGGGAAGUUCAAGAUGUAUUCUCAUCAGAGGAGUUCCCGAGUUCGUUAUGUUCGGGUCCGCUUGUAAGGCUAAGGUUCACUUGGCCGAGUUUCAUCUGUGUCUGCAACUCUGGAAUCAGAGGUUAAGUCGAACCAUAAAGAGAUGUUAGGAUCAAAUGCACUAUCACAGCCUGAAAGUACCAACAUAGGGAAUUAGCCUGCCAUAAAUAAGAGGUGUUUCCCCUGAGAUGAUCUGGUCCAGAGGAAAAGAGUACUGGGUUGGUUCAACCCGGGUAAUGAUGAGUUGCUUGGUAAUGAUGAGUUGCCUUAGGGGAGGUAAGCGCGGGAGCUAGCGAGUUUAGUCUAGGUUGCGAGUCAACGUUUUCGUAUAAGAAGAUCCAGAUUCGAAAUAAUUGAUAUUGGAAUGUUCUUAUACAGUAGUGUCGGUAGAGUGGACAAGUCCUGUCACUUAUAUAUCUGCCCCGCUUCCCUUGAUGGUUUCCUUGCUGGUUGAAUUUCAUUGAAUCUCUCUUGCACCAACAAGCAACUCGGAGUGCUUUGCUUCCAUUCUGACUUCAAGUAAGAAGCCCUUGUUUCAUCUUCUGAACGAAACUACAAGGAAAGCCACAUACAACCUUUUCCUCAAGUAAAGUACUAUCGAUCGAUGCCGCCUUUGCAAUACUCUAAGAAAAGCAAUCGAAUAGAAGUCUCUUUGUUCCCGUACUUGUUGAGUAAGGAGUAAGCUUAGCAGUGCGUGCGGUUGGUUUCAAGGUGUUUUUGUAGGCAGUAGCUCCUCCAACUAGUCUAGUCUACUAUAGAGGUUAUUGGCUACGCGGUGCUUGUUAAGUAAACUCGAGAAGAAGAGGUGAAAGUAUCCAGAAUCCUUAUUAUAAGAAAAAGCCAUAAAUUGGAUAAAUAAGGGAGUUUACGAAUAAUUCUUUGUUUGACUUUGACUUGGUGCUCGAUAAGAAAUGAAGUAUUGAUUAACUGGCACUACAGCUCGAAGUCCAGUGUUUGAGGUUAAGUAGAAAGUCAGGGUAGGGCUAAGGGAAGAAGCUUAAGAAGCAGUUUCAAGAUCAGUUGCCGAAGCCGAAUCUCCUCUUACAGAAGAAUGCCCAGCUUAAGCAGUGGGUGUGAGUGUUGCCUAGGAAAGGUGUUUACAAAAGUCAGGGUAUCGAGUCCGGGUUCCGGGCAAUCAGGCAGGCAAUAGCAAUAAUAGUCUAGAACCCCUAAAACCAGGGUCAACUAAUCAAAUGGCUAAUCUAUUGGAGUAGCAGGCUAGGCAGGUUAGGAAGCAGUGCGCAAGCAAGUACAAAUAUUACAGCAAGUUCAGUUGAGUCUUAGUCCAUUUAUUUAUUGUUGAAUCAUAUCUUAGAUAAUUGCUUAUUUGUCUUUAAUAAGUGAAAGUAUUCGAAUUGUAUAUCUGUGUUAAGGAUUAGAAUCCCGCUUCCUUAUUGUUUACAGUGUUUCUAUAUGAUGACACUAGUAUUCUAUUUGAUAAGGAUCUGUUGCAACAUAAGGAUAAGGAUAAUAAACAAGAUAAGGAUCAUCAGAAGAUCUCGGAUCAACUGCUGAAGCUAUACUAGCUAACGGAACUAAUCUACCUAUUACUGCUGCUGCUGACACAAACUCUCUCACUAGCGCACCCGCUCCAUACUCCACUUUAACAAUAGGGCGGGGACCCUAAAUGGAAUUGAAAUAAGUCGCACAACAUUAUAGAACCAAGUAACGAAACAAACACCCUUAUUAAGUGCCUAAGUAGGUCCAGACUUAUCUUACCAACAUACCUUUGGAAGCUAAUGCUGUGGGAGUGAAGUCUACUAUCAUUGGUGCUCGAGAGAUUCAAUUAAAGGAAGCAGCAAGAACAAGUAAAGUGACAGCGUCUGCAAGUGAGGUUUAGUUCGAGGAAGAAUCCCAUCUCAAGUCAGCAGUUAGAUCAGUUCCUGUUAUAGUGCCCGUUGUUGGUGACGAGUAUCUUUGUGAAUGAGUUUUCUGUUUCUUUGUUGACGACGAGCGGGAGAGCAAUCUUUCAUGACAAAAUGCCGUAAGCCUGACAGAGGGCAAAGGGACACAUUUGAUUAGUGGAACAGGGGUGAAACUUAGCUAAAAGAAACAAAAGGGCUAUGUCUCGUCUCUGGGGAGUGGUCCAAGCAUUAAUUCCGUGGCGCUGGAUGGAGCUCCGCGUUCCCUAAACCCCUUUAGUAUAGAGUAUAAUAGGUAACAUAACCAUCAAAUCCAAUAAGUUAUGAAAUAGUUCAUUUGACACCGCUCUAUUCCUAUGGCAAAUUACUCAUUGAAACUAAGAAACUGGUGUGGUGCCUAGGACUUAAUAUAAGGGCCACUAAGAAAGUUAUUGCUCUGGACUCAGGACUACUCUACCGGUUGGGCAAGAAGUCAAGGAACACGUACGCGGAGACAAUAAGGCUUAACCAAAGAAGUAGAUGAUCCGAUCUUUUCUUCAAUGCUUACCAGGUGCCGGUAUCCUAACUCAGGUGCUAUAGUGUAACAUACCUCUUUAACUCCUAGCUCUGGUAUUCCUACUUGUGAGUGGAAGUAUAAAGAUAGGUUGGUACUUACUUGGCCCGGAGAGUUAUUGUGGAAGAAGAAAGUACUGGUGGCAGAGCAAGCUAAUUCCAUGACUGUUUUCGGGGGAGUAAAGUUUCCAGUGUGUUGGAGAUGAGUCCCCUUCCGCCCUUAACCCUUACCUUACUUGAUACUUAAUUAGGCUAAACUUUCACUCCAUUCUUUGGACCACACCUAGCUUCAGCAGAUGGGCAUUCUUUAUUCCAUUCUGAAAUUCUACCUUAUAACAGAACUUGCGCAGAGUAAACUCAAUUCUGAAACGUUAACUUUAGGGAAAGAGUACUAGGUUAGUGACAUCUUCUAUCUCUUAAGGCAGAGAAGCGGUAAGUAAACUCCAUUCUGGUAUUCUCACUUUUGAGAAAGAGCACUAGGUAGGUUAGUGACCAAUAUCUAUAACACAGAGCAAAAUCCUCUUCGAUGGUUUUCUACCUUCAUAGCAAAAUCCUAUUGUCGGCUUGUCUUAUAGCUCAGCAGAUAUAUAAGUAUUCCCCCGGAAUUACUGUAUUUCCAUCUCUACAGUUUGAAGUCAUAAUUCAGUGUGAGUUGCCUGAGUCGAGGUAGGCAAGAGAACCAGUUAAGUCUUAAGUAGAGGCCAGGCCGGUAACUCACCUACUAAGGGAUGAGAUGGAAAGGUAUGGUUGCACAGGACUUGGUUUAUUACUUACUAUGUGUUUUAAGAAUCAAGUUAGAUGAGAAAGCAUCUUGUUUAGAUGAGCCAGAGUGGAGGUCUCAAGGGAAGCAAUGAAAGCUAUCCGGUCUAAUGAAACCAGAAAACAAUCAAUUAGAAAUCACAAAUAAUCUAGAGCCAAGCACCGACAGUCAGGCCUCAAUUCUAGUGCUCGUGCUCCUUCCUUUAAGAAUAUAGUUUACUUACCAACAGGACUACCAGGGGCAGGCAACCACUGAGGAAUUGCAUUUGGAGCCUAUACAAAGGGAAAGGGGUUCGGGGAAGUAAAGAGCAUAGAGAGCUAGAGGGUUAACAAACAACUGAACAAUCAACGAAACCAGCAAGAUCCAUAGAGCAGGAACAGCCCUUAAGUGAAUUGCAUUGUCUGCAAGAUCAUUCUAUUUCUUGGCAUCCUCAUCCUUAACUUAACUACUACAGGAUGCGGGUAAGUUUCAAUCAAGUAAGAGGCUUUGUCUAGUGAAUCUCGCUUAGUGGAUCUCGCCUAGUAUAGCCUUAACUUAACCAAGAUGUGUGCGAUCAAGAAAAGGGGUAUAAUAUCCUGCUUGUCUAUUUAUUGAAGUGUGAGUUGCGCUAACUUCAAGUUGGAGUUGCGCUCUAACCUAACUGAGUCUUUCUUAAUCAUCGGGGCAUUAGGGAGUUCUGGGUGCCGACAUCAAUCUUCUAUUCUACGGGAACACGCAAGGUUGAGUUGAGCUGAUUGGUUACCGCCAAUUCCGUUUUAGGGGGCUCCGUUUCACAUGGGUAUUACCACGAGACUAGAAUAGAAUGGCCUUAUUGACUUGACUUUAUUAUUGCCUUCUUCAGCGCCCAGCCCUUUGACUUAGUUUGACCCCUUUGUUAUCUCACUAACGCUAUUGGGCCUUUCGUGGAAUAAUGGAAGUGUUACCUUAUUCUAUAGGAACGUAAAAUCACUGCUUACUGCAGGCUCUGCUCUACCUAACAAAACAGCUCAAACCCAUAAGUUAACGCGCAAUGCUUUCUGCUAACGCACAAUGGCUUGUUGCUUUUUGAAUCGAAUUUGAAUGAAUAGAAGAAUAAGUAACAUACGAUAGAAAUCUUGAAACUAACAGCUUACUCCUUACUCUCCUCCUAUCCGGACAGCGGACUCUUAAGCAAAGCAAUAGGUACCUCCUGACCUUAGAUUGUACUUCUAUAUUUGCCAUGAUUUGAGAAAUAGUCGAAAUACCAAGAAAAUCCUCUUCCUAUUGAAUGAAUGCAAACGAAAAUACAUUGAUCCUCGUUUUCCCUCGCCCUGUGUUAGCUGUCCCAUAGGCUUUAAUAGCUUCUCCCAGUUCGAGUUCCUGCUGCUUGUGCUCUGGCUCGAAGGUUCCCGCGGAAAGAGUCAGUAUCGUACUAUCCGUUCACACUAGCAUACGUAGGUCAGUAUCAGCUUGCUUGUGUGAGUUCUUUUCGGGAGUGUUUCAUUAAUGGCAUAUUCAGAGCUGUCUCAGUUGCCGUUAAGGAUCAUAGCUCCUCUUCUCUCGUUAAACCCCAGUUUUUCUUCUUCUUGCCUUAGAGGUAUUCUUCUCCUUUUGGCUUCAUCAGAGUUCUCCCCUUCAUCGCCUACGCUUGUAGCUUCUGGAACUCUACCCUAACUUUCGAUCUACCCCUUCCCUUUAGAAUAUGCACACAUAACACAUAUGUGGGAGAUGCACCUUAUUAACAGCAGAAGAAUGGGAACCUUAUCUUUCAGAGAAGAAGAAUGGAAUGGAGUGGCCCCUAGGAGCAGCGCUCAAGAAUCUCCGUGAAUGGCACCGAGGAGCAGCGCUCAAGAAUCUCAUUGAGUCACAGCACAGUUAGAGAAAUAGAAACUUCGCCGUUGUUGCUUGUUCGCAUAUUAUGGAUGGUCGUUAGUAAAAAGCUUAUUCCUUCCCUUUGGCUUCUAACGCGCUGACUUUCUUAUAUGUUGUUUCUUAUAUGUUGACUUGUUUUAUUAAUACUCGAAAGAAGGACCGCCCUAUACAAUGGUACUGUACUUGACUGAAUUCUUGCCCGGCGCCACAGAAAGAAAUAGGCGUUAGCGCAACUCCCUAAAGCGCUUAACGUUGUUUGUUCCCCGCCCGAACACAUAAUGCUUGCUCGAAUUCCAGUUUUCGCCUCCCUCUCGCCAACCUCGUUAUUUUUCCUUAUAGAUAAAAAACACUUUAUGCCUAGACCCAUCAUAUUUACAAGCAGUAGUAGGUCCGACGCUUAGUAAUAGAAUUGUUGAUACAGAAACCCUUGCUUGUUGAGUUAAGUGAGUAGAGAUUCUUUCUUAUCAAUUGAAGUAAUUAAGGCACUUGUGGAAAUUCCUGUGUUACAGUAGCUACAGGCUAAUACUCUAGCGUGGGCAUACCGAUUUUACACAUAGGAGAGAUAGACUAACAAUAGUACGGCAUGGAAGAGCAAUAAUAGACAGUAGGGGAAGGCACAUAGGCAGAAGCGAGGUUCGGGGUCAACAGUAGAAUCAUCUAAGACAAAAUACAGGUGGAAAGGCAGGCUUGUUAGUCAGUAGGGGCAGGAUAAUAGAAGGUCUAGUCAGAAUAAGAGAUCUAGAUAUCGUAUUUGAAUAAAGGGAGGGGGACUGAUCUACGGGAAAGGUAGAGUGAAACACGGGAUAAGUAAUCAAACAAGUCAAUCUAAUACUUUACCCAAGGGGAACAGGACAGACCGAUAGCCGUUAUAGUCAGAAUGCGGUAGGAUAAGUCGGGUUGAAGCAAACACAAGUAAGUUGGGCUUGGAAGUUAAUGAAGUGAGGCUCGGCUACUGGUGAGUUAGGCUUGGGUAGUUAAGUUCCAUUCCGAUUUCCACUAUUUCACUUCUGAGUUUGUAUGCGCUGGAUCAGCGUAUCUAUUCUCUUAUCCUAACAUAUAAUAGUAGAAUGUCCUUCCUACAGCUAUUUCUGAUCUCAAAUCUUUAUUUCACUUACCCUUCCUUUAUACGAUGAAACUAAGGUCGAGCCAAUCAAUCACCUGAACCCUGCCAAUAACUCUAACUAAUGACUCGAGCUCCGCCAAGCAACUACGGCUGGGUAAGAGAAGGAGUGAACCUUUCAUAUAAGUAAUGGCAAGCUGCUUGAAUCUAAGGGAAAGCUACUACGGCUGCAAGGCAAGCUUAGGGAUGAGCCUAGACUUAUGGAAUCCGCCCAGCUCCAAGCCUAUUUCAAUUGUGACUGUAGUGGUUAGUUACUUAUUCUAUUAUGCCUCUCUGCGUCUAAUGAUUGUGUUUAUUCCCGGGAAUUGGUACCUCGAUCAGGCUUAUCAAGAAGAUAGAGUCAAAGGCUAAGGCUUAACCGAGCCGAGUAGAGAUCCAGUCCAAGCAUAAAAGAAAAUGAAGUCAGUCAGCAGCAAGCUGUUCUGAAACUAGAGUUCGGGCAAGAUAAGGAAUUCCUCACUGAAAGGUAAAGGAGAGAAGUCGGGUGCUUGUGUUAAGAAAGUAGUCAAUCGAGAACCUUUGCCCGGCUUGCCUGAUAGCCAAUAGUAUAGGAAUAAUCAAUUACCAAGUCCAGUGCCCGUGCCCUUGAUUAAUGCCCUAAAGAUAUAGGCACUAAAUGAAUUUCUUGAACAGGGAAGAGAAGAUGAUAGGUCAUUUCCCAUAAAACAACUAUAGUGUUGAAAUAGUGCAUUUGAACCUAACAUCUUGAUGGUUCCUUGCUUUAUAACCAAGUCCUUUGUAUUGGGCGUAAGAAAGAGGAAUUACUGAAUUUCACUAAGUAGUCAAAGAGACAAGAGAAUCAGUAGUUGUAAGAGAGGAUGUAGAUCCGGGUAACUAACCAUGGGCUCUAAACUUCAAAUAUCAGAAUGAAACUAGAGCGACUCUCUCCCGUAGUAGAAACCAUCCCUUUCAAACAAAGAAUGCAACUCACAAAUAGGAGAACUCAACUCUCAAGUCAGUAUAAUCAUAAGACGAGCACGAGCACUGGAGUUAGAGCCGGAGUUAUAGGAUAAGAAUGAAGUGACUAAGGAGCCAGCAAGCUCAGAAGUCGGAAAGGAAGGGUGGUUAGAGACCUUCCUAGGAAUAAGGAAUUUCAGAAUGAAACCAGUGAGUAACAGAAUGAGACCGGGUAGACUCAGACUGAACCAAGUAAGUAAGCAAAAGGGAAGCAGUGCCAGGAAAGCAGUCCGCAGUGAGAGUUUCGGUUGGAAAUGAAUAAAGUACUUGCUUUGAUGCGAGGCGAUAGUAGCAACAGUAGGAGUGAGUUUAGAUAGUAGCAACAGUAGUAGUGAGUGAAAAAGUGAACUAUACUAAAGAAUGAGUUGCGCUUGUAAAGUAUACUUGUUCAGGUAAAGAAGUCAGACUUAGCGGGACCAAAAACCUCUUCCCCAAUAAUAACUAUUUCUAUACAAUACCCUGAUCCUGCUUAAGAUCCUGUUGCCAAUGCCAUUAACUUAAGGGCUGCUUGUAAACUAAUACUUAAUUGGAUCUUUCUUGCUCCCGUUAGCGAGUUGAUCUUGAGUUGCCUGUCCCCGAGACUUCUAUUGAUACUUCUCCUACUCCGGACAUACACUUGCUUCUGGUUCAAAGCCUGUCUUAUUACUUUCACCGGAUAGAUUCUUUUCCUUCACUUUACUUUCGAACAUCAUUUCCUAGCACAGAUCCUGAUCCUUAUUUAGCCGACCCGACCUAUCCUUUUCUUUGUUUAGGGUGCUGCUUACGCUCUUUGUACUUGAUCUAGUAUAUGCUUGGUUUGGGCUUUCAAAGUAGUUUCGUGGAGUUCGGUGCUAUAGUAGAAUCCCGGUAGUACUGUUCGAGUUAAGUUCUAGCCUGAAUCCCUAGUUUCCAGUGAGGGUCUUGUUGGGCAGAAGAUGGAUCAAAAGAUAGAGAUGAAAUUCAAAGAGGAGAGUGAGAAACACCCUGGACUACUCCGCAUAUAGUAAUAGAACUAUCAUACCUAGCUAAUUCUACUACUCCGAGACUCAUUAAUAAGAAGAGAGGCCAAGCAACAAUAGUAGUCAAGAGGAAAGAAAAGAAAGGAGCGCAGAGGAAGGGGCGAGGAAACUCAGAGCAGAGAAGGAAAGCGCACGGGAAGAGGAAGCAGCAAACUCAGGCGCUUGGAACGUAAAGCAGUAAACAUUGGUUUAGGGAGAAUUCACCGUAAAGCUAUCAUCAGCAAAAGAGUGAAGCGGGAAGAAGUAGGUUUCAUAUAUAAGGAAAAGAGAGAAAUUGCGAGAGAAAGCAAGCUAGAAUACUCAAUAAGUUUGCAGCGGUUUGUCAGGUUCGUUUAGCUAUUAGCAAGUGUGAAGUCUGUCUCAAGAAGCAACGAGGAAUCCACUUUGAUUUCAAUUGUUCAGUACGAAAAAAAGGGAGACCCCCGCGUGGGAAAGUUUCUUAGUGACAUUUGUAAAUGAAUAGCAAAGAUACCAACAAUAAUGUCCCUACCACAUAGUGUUGUUGUAAAGGUGGCAAAGAGAUCUCCGCAGCGAGAGGCAGCACGGUAUUUGUUCCUUUUGAGAGUCUGUCUCCCUUUGGUAAAAUAGGGUUGGCCAGAUAGAGAGAGGGACCGAGCGCCCGAAAGAGAGGGACCCGGACACAGGACUUCCCGCUGUGCUUACUUUCUCUCUACAGCAGAAAAUCGACUUGCUCUUCAUCUUGGCACUCGUAAACAAGACUUGCUCUUCACUCGGGUUUCUUGCUUAGCUCUUGUAAUUCCACUUGUAAGUAUAAGGCAUUUGGCAAUAAUUGAAUGAAAAGAUGCUAGUAAACAGGUGAACUCAGGAAUAGUGCUCCUAUCCAGCCUUUCAGAAUGCGGACUCUGUGGAUGCUGACUUAGCGGUUGCUUGAGAUGAGAUGAGAGCCUGAGAUGAGGUCGGCAGGAGCUAUGGCCAAGUCCUGUCUUCGUAGAUGUUUUCGUACGAAGUUAUUACAAUAUAUGUUUUCGAUGGCAAACUCAUAGGUGAAAUAAACACUUAGUUCUAUCUGUAGGAGCGCUAGUUUGAAACCAAGGAAUAGAAGAAUCGAGGUUUAACAUGCAUAAUGGAAUUAAUGUAACAUAAGUGUAAGCCUAGAGGCAGGGACGUAAGAAGGAUCGACAUACUUAAUAAUAGGAACAUAGGAUCCGGGUAUCUAUUGCGAGUGUUGCUAUCAGCGGGGUCAUUCCAAGUUGCUUGUUUCUUCUUUAGUUCCCCAGGAAUACAGCCUCGCUUUAGCUAAUUGAGUUCUUGUUAUCCGUGUUUGGAUUCCCUAUUUCUAUAGGUUGGUUCUGUAUAGUAGUAGAUGGAUUCCUCUUUCUGUCCUUAGUUGGCUUCUCAGUUGAAAGUCUUAAUCAAAGGGGCGUAGUUGGAGACUUCAAGCAAGGUGGGUGAGACUUAGAUGAAGUAGUAGCGGACCUCUUACCUUUUAUUAGAACUAGUAGACAGUAGAGUAAGCCUGAGCAGUGUGGUUAAGUAGGGUAAGCAUUGGUUCCAUUCCCAGUUUUCAGGUGGUUUAGUUAUAAUGUCUCUUGUUGCAGUGUCUCGCUUUUGAUAGUGGAGUUCUUUAGCUCCGUUUUCAUUAUUACCGGUAAUAGCAGCACAAUAAGAUAAAGCACAGUCUCAGUUUGGGAUAAAGCAGUGCCAGACCAGACCGAUGGAAGGGCUGUUUGGUGGAGUCAGGGUAGUAAGCCUAGUGGGCGGGAGCCGCAGGCUGAGAUAAAGCAAAGCAAGGUUUUACGUCAUUAGCGGAAGAGUUAGCUUAGGGCAUACGCCUUGUUAACAAUAGGGAGAUUCUAGCGGGAGUCCACAACAAACAAAGACUUCUAUUUAAGAGUUGGAGACACGGAAGGCAGCUAACGAAUAUCCGUUUUAGAGCUAGGAUUGAUUACCAGAAAUAGAGUUAGGAGUACCGAGUGAGAUAAAGGGCCAAGCAACAGUACUAGACUUCGGUCAAUCGGUGGUCUAGUUCCAUUCCUUUACUUAAUAGUUCCAUUCCUUAUUCUUAGGUUGGACUAGUUCAUUCGUCGACUUCCGUACUUAUAGCUUCCUAGCCCAGCUGCUUCUCUCGUAGACCUAAAUCCACUCCCUUACCUUACACAGGACUUGGACCACUACUUGGGACUGUAAACUGGGGCUGUAAACCUAGCUCCUGCUUAUAUCUCUAACCUAACCUAUAUCCUAAUUCUGUUUCUUCGGGUUUCCUAUAUAUAGAGAAAUACGGAAUUUAGGAGUGGACAUGCGGACUGAGGUGAUAGAUUGACUACUUGCUUAACACAAGCACCCGACCUAUACAUUACUUCUAAGCCAACUACUACUGAUUCACAACAGGACUACUAUACUUAAUGAGCACUUCCACUAUCACUCGAGCAGGACUACCCGGGAUUUUGGAUAGCAAAUGGAGAAUCUCUCCUCGGAUCUAGCCUCUGAUCUUGCUCUUCUAACUCUCCCUAGCUACGAACCUAGACAAUUAAGUCAAACUUGAAACUACACUUUCUACUUUCCCUCGCCCUGGAAAUCUAUCUACUUAAGGACUGACUGCUGAAGAUACUGAUGUCUCAACUCGCCCCCCCAAGAGACUCCUACCACUUAGUGACCGCAACUCUGGCUCUUCUCACUACAAACCCUUACUUAUUAAAGCUGCUUGUACCGGUCCCAUAUUCUCGAUUGACUCAUCGCUUCCCACAAGCAAACUUACAAUAAGGGCCUCUCCUCUGGACUAGCUUGCCUACCUCAACUCUCAAGUCAGAGUUUAACUCACACCUAGGAAUACGGAAUUACAGAAUUGCACUAAGUAGUCAAAUCCAUCUCUUUGAACUCUUCUUAUCUUCAGCGGAGUGCUUUAAGCUGUUGUUCAGUCUGGAAUAGAUGUGUUUGACUCCUAUCUUUGAUUUUCUUAUUCAUGUGAAUGGAAUCCCAGUCCUACACAAGAAGAAAGGCCUUGGCUCUUUAAAGUCAGGCGUUAGAUACUUGUUUUCUAUGUGAAGUAAGUACGCUUGUAUGAUAACGAUACCAAAAAGAAGAGUUCCCGGCCCAGCAACUAGGCCUUGGCCGCUCUAUCAGUUUCCUUUCCUUACAACACUGGCACACAAAGGGAUUCUUCUUAUAGUAGCCUGUUUUUCAUUGAGUGUCAUUCUUAUGAGAUAUAGGUUACGGUGCAUUCUUAUAAGAUAUAGAUAGGCCAGGGGACAGCCCAUAAUUAGAGUGCUAUGUCUUUACUGGAUUUCUUUAUAAAUAAUAAAUAUAAGAUUCCUUUCUUAACCCCGCAAAGUCAGUAAACCACCCAUCUUAAUCAUAUAGACCAAGUAAGUAAGUAAGUAAAGGAUAGUUAGUAUAAGUAUGAGUAUCCUUAGCAACCGUAGUUCUCAUAUGACCAAUUACCAGAGUAAGAGUUUACCUCCCUCUUUGCCCAGCCUCAUAAGGAUCUGGAUCCCAGUCCUGUUUCCGCUACUCUGACUUCCCUUUCCACUCCCCUUAUAUACAAGUUCUAGGAAAACCCAUCUAAAUUCUAUCUUUGAAUAUAAUAUAACUGAUUCAACCUUACUCCUAGAGAUCCUGGACUCUGCAACUUACAAUAAGGGCCGAAGAAGUUGAUACCUUCUUUACCUACCCGUGCCUCUACCUACUCCUCUAGACUAUCUUCUUGCCACAACUCGUGUAUACUCGGUUAAGCCUUACCUCUGUCAACUAACUACUACUGAGAAAACAGCUGACCUUGCAGACCUCCUAAACAGCUUCCCUAAGGCUUAUCAACUAGAUCCAUCCCUUAUGCAAACCUAUAUUUGCCGUAAGCCGCUAGUGCUCUGUAAACUCACACUGAUUCCUCUGUCCACUACUACUUAUUCACAACUGGUUUCACUCUUGCCCUGACUGGUUGCAUUGUUUGACUACUGAGUUUCACUCUUUAAUGAGUUAGCUCAAUUCUAACUUCCCUAAUAGCUGACCUCUGAGUGGAAUUCUGAUCUGAGCAGCUAUAGCAGCAGCUGCAUUCUCUGUUGUACGAGUUUCAGUCUGAUUGUUAGGCUUACUACCCCUACUUUAGCACUGGAACUGGGGCAGCAGACUUAACUCGAGUCAUCGAAACCCUUGUUUUUUCAUAGCACCCCCGUUUUCCCUACAAGAUCACCCAAAAUGACUUCUUUUUUGAUGAAACCCCGGGCCAAGCAACUUCUAACGUUGCGCUAAGGAGCUACUCCAUUCCCACUCCGAUCCGACCUAAACUAUGGCUCUGUACUUUUGAUAAAGAUUCUAUUGAACACUUAGAAAUCACAGAAUUCACUGACCAUUGAUUAUAGUGCGCACUACCUUCGUAUACUGAUCUUUCAAGCUCUAAUUCCCCUUUCGCAUUAAGUACUUACGACUUUGUCGACUUUGCCAGGUAAGGUUAGCCAGGUCAGCGGGGUAUAACUGUAAACUCUAUUUUCUUCAGUGGUUUCAUAUAUAAAGAGAGUCCAAGUUAUCCGCCAAGGAACAUAGUAAGUGUAGUGGCAGUCCCUUCAGUUCUCCUAUAUAAGGUUCUCUUGAGGUUCCUCUACUUAGUCAGUACAUGGGUUUCAAAACGACUUUUCUGGCACUGAUAGCGGCCCUGCCGCGACACCGAACACAUAGGGAGUAAGAGAGCAACCAAAACCCCGAACAUAGGAGCGGCCCUGCCGCGACACCGAACACAGGACUUAUUCUUAACUGGCUAUAACUACUUAUUUGUCCUACUGCCGCACAACGGCGUAGCCGUUGCUUGCCUAUCCGUGUCUUGGCUGUGUUUUUUCUUAUUCUAGUUGAGUUUGAGGCCUUGGCGUCUAGUAGUUGCUUGGCCCCUUAGCUGCAGAGGUUAUACAACUAGUUGAAAGCCCCUCCGCCUCUACUUUGCUUUCUUUUGAUAAUGCUUUCUGCCUCUACUUUCUUUCUUUUGAUAAUGCUUUCUGCCUCUACUUUCUCUCAGUAUAUCUCUCCUAGCUAUAACACAAUACCAACCCUUGCUUUGAUUCCAUAGCUGGAGCUCGGGCCUUACACUCCCUUCUAUUAGUCUAGUCCGCUAUUCUCUUCUCUUACUCUGCAUUUCCCGGCUAUAAUUCAUUACUUGUAGGUUAGAUCGCUAGGCUCACAUGAGUUAGUUUGAGUUUGGGUCUGCCUCUCUUUUCUUUGAUUCUUCUAUUGCUACCAAUGCAAUCAAUAAGAAUUUCACCUAUGCUUCUAAUCCUUUAACUAAUAACUUGGAAUUCCGUUAGUACUGAUUAUACUAUAGCUAUUGCCAAUAAGAAAGCCACAAAUGUCUCUCGCUCUCCAAUAACGGAUCUGGAUUCCUGCUUUGUUAUUUUGACUCUUAUGCUAAGACAGUUAGCCUGCGACUACUCAACCUAAGGCUACCUUUCCUAGAUCUCAUUCUGACUAUCCUCGCUUUCAUGCUUAACGACUGACUUGCAUUCCGUAGCUACUGAUGGGGCAAACCUAGCUAUGAAACUCAAACCUUUCCUUUGACUACUGAGCUUCAACCUUACUAUCUUAUCCGUCAUUCUAACUACAACUUCUAUCGACCUACCCCGAGUCCACUGGUUGCAUUCCCAAAUUACGGAGGGAAAUUCUGUCUAGUACCAAGGCUUACUACCACUAGCUGCGGUCCCAUACUUAAAAGCUCCAUUCUAUAACUUAGCAGCUCCAUUCCGAGAUGCACUAGUUCCAUUCCUUAAGCUAGUAUCACUGGUUGAAUUCCUAGUUCCAUCCCCUUACUUGCUGGUUCAAUUCUGUAACUCCCUGGGUUCAUCCUUGCACUUACUAGCUCCACUCUUUAACUCUAGCUCCACUGAUCUAACAGGCUUCUACAAAACACAUAGCAAGUAGGCACCACAUCAGGCUUGGGAGCAGCGGUUUGAGUCUUUGAUUCAUUGGUUUCAGCCUGGUCGUUUACUGGUUCAUUCUUAAACUACUUGGUUUCGUUCUAUCACCUACUAUAGGUGCAUUCCGAGUGACACUGGCUUGGUUCUGAGUCUACCCGGCAUCAGUCCCAUACUAGCUACCACUGGUUGAAGUCUGCUCCCACGGGGGCCAACUUCCAUUCUGAUAGGUGUGAGUUUCUGUCUUAGUAAUAGUAGUGGGAGUCUUGCUAGCACUGGUUGUAGCCACCAAGCAACUACUAAUGACCAAGCCGAUCUAGGCGGCCAAGUAACUACUAAUGUUACGCGGCAGCCAAUAAACAGUCAUAACGAAGUUAGUACAAUAGAUGCUUUCGGGAGUUGAGCUAAACGGUAGCGAGCUGUUCCUCACUAGGUCAAUUCUGCCUAGCUCACCUCUGAGUUGUGUGACUCACUACUAGCUGCCUCUUGCUUCUAAUCCUCAUUUGGAUUGAUACUUUUCUUUACCCGCUCCUGCUUCAACACUCGAUCGCCCUACUGCUGAAGAUCCUUAUGAUUACUCUCCCCCCUGGCUAUUGAAUCUGUAAAAUCCCUGGAACAUCUGGGCGAAGCAGACAAGCCGACAAGUAAGCAAGUAACGACUACUAAGACAUAGCAAGUAGGCAAGCAUAUACUAGAGCAAGAAAGAAGCUAAGUCAACUCACCCCACUCCUGUUCGUUUGAUACCUGAAUAGAAGUGUGUUUCAAUAGAGUCUCUUGGGGUAGUGGAAUUCCUUCAAUUGACUAGCGGCAGGAGCCCCGUGACGAGUUGAAGACCGGAUAUCGGUUGGAAGUAGCAAUAGGUGGUGUUGAUAACUUGGAUGAGGCUCCCGCUUGCUGUUGAUAACUUGGAUGAGGCUUCUUACUUAUUAUCUUACUUAUUAAUAUACUAGCAAGUAGUGGUCCAAUCGAGAAGUAGUGGUCCAAAGAAUGGAGUUGAGAGUGAUUAGUUGACAUAGGUAUCGGAGCAAGAGUUAGCAGAGAUGAGCUAUAAGUAGGCAUUCAUUCCUUAGAGAUAGAGAUUGGUCACCAACCCCGGGAGUGAAAGGCUUACGCAUCAGUAAGUAAGUAGUUGAUAUAACACUAGCAUCCGACUAAAGAAGCACACCGGCCGGGAAGAACAAGAGGUAUUCUUGCCAGCUGUGGGAGUUUCGUCUACAGGAUCAGAAGAAAGAGGUGGUUCGGUGUCAGAAUAAGAGGCUUAAGUGCGAGUCGAGUUACUUGGCCGUUGCUUGGCUGUUUCGGGUGCAAGGAUAGUACUUUGGCUUUGAAGUCAGGUACGCUUCAGUUGAGUGAAGAAAGGGUACUCAUUGUCUACUAGUAGCUUUGCUCUUUGCCUUUACGCUCUCCGCCUUGCCCUUACGCUCUGUUCCGCGUGGUAUCUUCUUUCUUUCUAGCUGAAGUUUCUAGUCUAGGUUCAGUGAUUGGCUUGUCGGUUCCACAAGUGGAGAGUCAGGAUCCUAAGCUAGAUUAGAGGCUGGAUUUGAGGCAUAAGCUAUAUCCGGAGUUGGAGCAGGCCCAGACUCAGUAGCUAAAGUCAGGUCAGCUGCAUAAGAAAGAUCCCUUACUUAAGCUUAUAUAAUAUAGAAAGAAAUCAAGUAGAGCAAUGUAGUUAGUAAGAAAGUUCCCUAUUGAGAUUUCACUGCUACUAGGUAAGGUUCCGUUCACUAAUAGGGUUCAGUUCAAGGUUCGGUUCUACAACCAUAGGAGCUGCGCAGUAUAAUUCUAAUAAGUUGAUUCUACUCACACUCUCAAGAGCCGAUGCCACCCCAAGACACUCUACAUACAACCUCGAAGUUGCCUUUCCCUCUUCUACUGCAUAGUCAAUAACUACUUGUUCCGUGUCUUCUGCUUCUGUUUCUUCUGCACCGGAUACAACUCCUAUUUCUUCUCAAACAGGUGUCCUGAACCACUUUCAUUCUAUCUUAUCCACUUUCAUUCUAUAACAGUCAGGUCUGCAAGGGUAGUUGAGGGUGCGGCAGUCUCGGGGCUUACUGGUUUCGCUAAGUAGUAUAAUUGGUAGCUAAUUGCUUAUGUUUCUUAUGUUGCUAAGGCCUAUAAGAAGUCAUAAAAUACUUACUGCGCUAGCAAUGUGGUAUUAGGGCCCGCUUCUUAGUCUUAUACUUUACUUACUGGUUGAAUUCUAUAGUUGCAUUCUUGACCUUACUAGUUGGAUUCAACUCAUUCACUUCUUAUAUACUUAUACAACUUGCUUCUUUCCCUUGACAAACCUCCUGCUCUGCAAAUGGGUAGCUGGUUGCUUACAGGUGGUUUGGUGUGAGGGUGCUGAUAUAAGUUUCUCAAAGCAAUGCACAUGGUUGGUUAGUUAUCCAAUUCUAUCAUAUAUGAUGGGGGUAACAAUAAUUCUUCUUCAGCAACAUAUGCGGCUCCUUAGUCUGUUCCUACUACUAUUCCUUCUUCUUUUUAGGAUAUUUAUUCAGCUCCUGAUCGAGUCGACUUCUUAAUAUGGUUAAACUCAUUCACCUAGCGCUUAAAAGCAAGUAAGAUAAGAUUCCCCAUUCCAACUUGACUUUAUACUUCACUUUGAAACAACAGUUGUACCAGUAGGGCCAGCCAGGUGCUAAAAAGGAUAUUUCCAUAAAUGAUGAACUUCAACUUGAAGUCGGAGAAGAAGAAAAAGAAAGUACAGUAGCUGUUAGAGGAAGGGCAGAAUCCAGUACAGGCCGGGCAGCGAGCGGGAAGGAGAGUUCUGUUGAGGUCGGGUGUGCUUGUCAAGUCGACGGAGCGGUUCAGAAAGGAAAGGAGAGUUUGUUAGUUGAAACACAUAUGGAAUACUCUGUAACCAAACACGGAUUACUUCAAGUAAGGGUAAGGCGGGAAAGAAGUCUCCUGUGCAGUGCAAUGAAAGUCCACAUCGACAACUAAUCAAAUGGCUAAUCUAUUGGAGUUCUGGAUCUGGCAAUUCCAUAAGUUUGUCUUGUAGCCUUGGCGGUCAUUAUACUAAGCUUGGUGGACUCGGUAUUGACUUGUAUUAACUCGAACUAGCAGCCCUGACGCUUGGAACUCGCUACCUAGCAACAUUAUACUAAGCUUGCAAUUACUUAAGGGUGGGGGCAACUCGGGAAGAAAAUGCAGGACUUGUUCUUAACGCAAACACUAAUAGGUAUACUAGGGUCUCUUUACUAAUAGGUAUACUAGGGUCUCUGACCUAGCUUCAAAGCCAAUACAUGAUUAUGCCCGAACAAUAUUCUCUUUACCGACAACUAAGGGAAAGCCAAUAAAAGAAGCGUCUCUAUCUUCGCCAACUAAGAUAGAAUCACUUACCGUUGAGGAAGAGAAGCACCGAGGCAUAGAUCUAUAGACCAGAAAGAAUAGAAACUUGAAUCCAAAAACUCAUUGUUCCCCGCCGUUGCGCAAGGGAAGGAAUAUCCGGGUGUACAAAAGUCAAGUCUCUAAUAUAAGCUUAUCUAAGAAAGAUGGAAAUCCAGAAAGAAAGUAGGGAUGCGGAAUACAGCUAAAAGCACUCUUCAACUUACUAUAGGGGCCUCUCCUUGUGAAGUUAAGGAAUGAAAGAAUUCCACUCAAACCUAGGAAUAAGUAAUUACAGAAUUGAACAAGUAUACUAAGAUCGGAAUGGAACUAGUCUCAAGUACUGAAAGUCUACAUUUGCUAUCAAAAAAGACGGGAAAACGUGAAAAAAGAAGAUCAAUUGAUCGGUCCAGGAAGCAAAACACCUUCGCUACCAAAAAACACGGGAAAACGCCAAGAUCUCAUUUUCAUGGAUCGGUCCAGGAGGGGAAAUGCCCAUGCUAUGUUUUUUCCCGGGAAAACGCAAAGAUGAGAUUUCCAUGGACCGGCUCAGGAGGGAAAUUACCUUGGCUAUCAAAAAAGCCGGGAAAACGCAAGAUGAUUGCUCCCUGCCGCUACACAUUAGUAGUUACUUGGCCGGUAUUCCACUCAGCGGUGGGAAAGGUCAGAAUGAAAGUGAACUGGCGUUGCUUGUCUCCUUGUCUAUACGUAGCUUGGUGGGUGGGCUUGUUGUGGAAUGAAGUUACUAGGGUAGUGAACUUUAGAACUCACUCCUGCUGUUCCUACUAUCUAAUAAGAAUAUUCUGAAUUAAUACAUCUACAUACCUCUAUACUACUUGUUGGGGCAGUAAACCCUAAUUGAACUUGCCUACUUGCUCUGUGUUUGUUAGUUAGUAGUUAGAAUACCUAUGUUUCAGUUUCCCCUGCAGAGUAGCGGUAAGUUAGAUAAGAAUAAGAUCUAGAUCCGGAUCUGGCUUAGUCUUAUUGAACGGUGGAAGAAGAGGAGGCGGGGUCUCAUGCUGGGCUUGCUUGUUUAAAGAAGUGACUAGGGGCCCUUAUUGUAAGUUCUUGUUUACUGACUUUUACUGGGCUCGGGUAGUUCACUCACUGCUCGGAUAGUUAACUCACUUUGUUGACUUACUUGGUUGGGCAGGAUAGGUUGACUUACUUAGUUGACUUAGGUAUCGGAGCCAAGCCUGAGUUCCGAGAGAUGAAGAGAUGAGAUGCGCCUGAGUUGGAUGAGAUGAGAGCAAGUCCUGUGUGAACAUAGGUGGAAAACUCCCUUUCCCUGAGCCAAGGAAAUCAAGAAUGAAACAACUAUACUCGGACUAAGAAUGCCAAGUAUUUAUAAGAAUUGACCUCCCUCUCGACAGCCUAUGCUUACCUAGCUUGCCUACUUGCUAUGUGUUUGUUAGUUAGUAGUUAGAAUACCAAUGUUGCAGUUUCCCCUGCAGAGUCUAAGAAUAAGACAAGUGAGUACUAGUAUAAGAAUAAGCCAAGUGAGUAUAUGAAUGAAACCAGUGCCAACCAGGCUGGUGCUACUGGUGCUGAUGCUAUGUAGCUAAGGUCUAGUAGCUGGUAUCGGUAUUGGUAGCUAAGGUCUCUAUUAUGUUGCUAAGGUCUCUAACCACUGUAAACCAGGCUUUGUUUCAGGUGUUACAGGCUUCACUACUGACUAACAGACUUCAACUCACUCCAAUCAGACUUCAACCAGUAAGUAAGCAUCUAGUAUCGGAGUAAGCAUCUAGUACUAAGAUCAGAGCUAAUAGGCGAACACAGGACUUGAAAGAAGAGAACUAACCCUCGAACAAAGGACUUAGUAGGAGGCGAGGAAGCAAUAAGUAUGGAAAUCCAGAAUGAAACCACUAUAGCAUCUAGUUUACUUACCGCAAUUAGUACAUCCCUAGUUUCCCUUGUUGCAUCCCUAGUUUCAUCAGUGUUUGAUGCCCGAGUUAGAUGAGCUGGAGAACCAAGUCCUAAUUAAUAGCGGAGGAGCGUUGCCCGGUGAAAUGAAUUGUAGCCCGAGUUAGAUUAGCUAGUUGCCGGAGUUCGGGAAGUAGAGAAGAGUUGCUAGUAGGCCCAAGUGAGUCUUAUUCUGUUAUUAAGGAUGAAAUGGGGCAAGAGUGAAAUGAGCAUUAAGUUGAAGGGUGAGAUUAGAGUCCUGCUCCUGCUCGAGUGGAAUACCGAGUUCAGUAACUACCCAACCAUAGGCUCUGAACCAAAACAACUGAUUUCUAGUUGCGCGCGGGAAGUUAUUGGACUGAGCCCGAGUUAGAUGAGAAAGAGUUCAAAGAGCCAGGGGUAUUCUUGCCAGCAGGGGUAAAUUCAUUGAAUCUAGAUUGUCUGCUUGAAUGCAAAGUAGCGUUUUAUAGGUAUUGUUGCUAUAGGGGUAGAUGAGAAAGAGUCCAAAGAGCCAGAGGAGAGCACACCCGGAGUUGUUUGUCGACUUGGCCCUUCAGUUCGACGAGUAUCUCUGUGUUCGAGUGUUGGUAUUGCGGUGCUUAAUAAUAGGGCAGAAGUCAAGUAUCCAGUUUCCAGAUAUAUCGUAUGCUUGAGCGGUGAGAGGACAAGAUAGGGGCUUCAAAUUCACUAUAACAGCACUUAUUGAGUUCUCUGGUCAAUCACAUUCAAAACUGAUACUUAUUAGAAAUACAGCAUUUCUAUACAAAUAAAUGAAUGAUUUCUAAUCCGCCAAGACACUGCUAAUGACCAAGCAGACUAGAAGGCAAGUCACGACUAGACAAGAGCGAGCGGAUGAAGACUAGAACAAUAACAGAAAGAUACGGGAUUUCACUAGUGCUCACAUAAUACUUGACUUACUAGCAAACAGGCUAUAGUUACUGGCUUUGAUUCUAUGACUCCUACUUCUAGACUUAAAGCACCUGAACCACUUGACUUUCCCAGCCUAUACACAAGCACCCAACCUAGACUUAACAAGCACAAGAACCACACUUUGCAGAACAGAACCGAAAUGCUGAAGUCGCGACAAACCUAUCUCCACACUGUUUAAGAAGGAAUAGAUUCGGACCAACACCCAGCUUUCUCGCCUGAUUGAGAGUACUUAGCGGGCAGCUUACUUCCUUUCCACUUAUAUCUUUCUUAUUCUAUUGUUCCCUAUUCUUCUUGAUCUCCGACUCAAUAUACUGACUCUAAAACGGAUCUAUCUCCUGAUGAACAAAGGACUUGGUUCGUUCAUCAGCGUUAGAAAUGAAUAAGUCGGCCUGGAGCGAGUCCUUUCUUCGUCCUCGUUAGGGAGUUUGAAAGAAAAGAAGAAGAUCACAUAUUAGCAAGAGGUCCAUCUCUUUAGGCUAAAAUAAGGCGCCCAGUGUGAAGUACAGCUCCAAAACGAAUUCUAUUCAAAUCGACAAGAUCAGCGGUUGAUCGCCACUGGGAAGCAUUCGACUCUGUCUAGGAGGGAUUCCAUUAUCAAAGGAGAUCUAUGAAAGCAUUCUUAUGGUCUUAGGUUUCUUCACUUAACUCUCACGUAAGCACCUUCGCGAGCCGUACCGAUAAAAGAGGCCGAGACUUAUUAUGAUAUUGAUUAUCAAAGGGAAAGCUAUGAAAGAGUUGACCUCAAAAGGGAAAGCUAUUCUAGAGUUGACCUCGCGCUGAAGAAGAGCGCAGUGAAACGAUAUCAAGGACUGAGUGAUUGAAAGAGCGAUAGUACAUGAGACCAAAGACAUAGAAAAGGGUGCUUCAAAACGGACUUAUUACUUUAGUUGCUUCAUUUCCCUGUCCGGGUUUCUUUACUUUACUAUUAGAUUUGAUUUACGUAAUCUUCAAUGGCUCGAUAUGAAAGACGACCUGCUCGCAUUCCAUUCUUUAUAGGAUGAAACUAACAUAAAGAAAUGGGGUAUACUAAAUAAGGGGUAAACUAGGGUCUCUCCUAAACACUAGAAAUAAGGGGUAAACUAGGGUCUCUCCUUCUGUCCUAAAAAGAAAGGGACUAUUCAUUAGGCUAGGUUUUGGAAUGGAUUUAUUGACCGGAAGAAAGCCUUACCUUGGCAAGAGUGAAGAUAGUGGGUUCCUCUCUCUGGCGAGUGACUCUGACUUUCUGUCUUUUGGUUGAACUCACCACCGGAGUGGCUACCCGGCGAUCCAAGGCCAGUUGAUGUUGCAGUGUCCAGUGCCAAUGUUACUGCUUUCGGACGGCUUGAUGGAAGGCGAGACACUUCCAGAGGUGAAAUAGCCAACACCAAUACGCCUAGUCCUGACUGUACGCCUUUUCAAAGCUCUAUAAGGUAAGGCGGGUUCUCGAUCAAUCAGCUCAUAGUUUGGGAGAGAUAGGCCAGUAACAUAGGUAUAGGUUUCGUUCGAAUUUCUAGGAGUUUCACUUGCUUGAUCUUGAUUCUAUGAUGGUGGCAGGGGAGUAACUACUAAGGGUAUUUUCUAGUUUCACGAAUUCCAAGCAAGGCGUAGAGAAGAUUCCAUUUCGAAUUCCAAGCAAGGCGUAGAGAAGAUUCCAUUUCCACUCGUUAAGACUGAGCUAGACUAGGAAUUACUAAGUUACAAAGAUUGAGGAAAAAGACGAGGCUCCUCUAUAAACUAGAUCAUUAACAGGGAAAGCGACUCUUCACCGGAAAUAGUCACUUUAGCAAGCAUUAUGUUUCAAGUUGGAAGUAAUCGUCUGCUCAUAGAAGUGGAAUUCCAUCGGGUCUGUCUUCUUGAAGCUCAUAGAAGUGGAAUUCCAUCGGGUCUUCUUAAGUCAGUAACUUUGAGUAUACAAGGUCAGCUACAUUCCACCUUUCUAGAUAUAUGUUCAAACAAAUGACAUAUUUUCCAUUUCGAUCUAAGACUUCCAGAGCCGGGGCUUUCAAUAUGGCUCUGACCUGUUUCUAUUCUCAGAAUUGAUAGUAGGAAUUCUAUGGUGCAACGACGCAGUAUCAAUGUUUCUUGUGGUGAUAGUGAAUAAGGGGUUCGAAAUAAUGUCUUCCAUACUAUAUGUUCUCCUCAAGACAAGUUGAGUUUGGUGAUCAUUGAUAGUGGAAGUGUUGAUAAUUUGGUCUCUCUCUUUGGAUAUAUUGGAAAAGUGAAGAUAACCAUUCCACACUGUACAAUUGCGCUGGCGGAAUAAUAGGGGUUGGUUAAAUAUCAAGGUGAGCAAGCGUUGUUUGGUUUCUUUUUCCAUGGGGGAUCACUACACUGAUCAAGUUUGGUGAUAUAUCAUUCCAAUGGAUUCUUUUGAGUUGUUGCUUGGACGACCAUGGCACUAUGAUAGGAGGGUUCUCUAUGAUGGUUGAAACCUAACUUAUUCCUUUCAGAAAGAUUGCGUUCUUUUGGAGUUCCUUUCAGAAAGAUUGCGUUCUUUUGGAGCCCUUGAAAACCCACUAGGUAUCUCUUGGACUUUGGUUUGGUGCCCUUGAAUCUCACUAUCAAUACAUUACCUACAAAAAGGAGAGGGAAAGGCAAAUCUAUAACCUCAAAAAAGGGAGAAGGAAAAUCUAGAAAAAGAACCAAAAGAAGGCAACAGAUAAAGCUUCUGGGUUAGGGUGGGUAGGUGACUCGUCCAGUGGGAAGCUUCCGUGGAGAGAGGAUUCCCCCCUGGAUUUUCAUCAGUGAACUGGUUUUAUCGCUUUAGGAGUCUUAACUAAUUGAAGAACCUAAUGGAUCCAACUUAUAGAAGGACCAGACACGUAUCGCCUUGGUGGAAUCUACUAAAGUGAUGUAGAAUUGCGAUAUGAUUGAGAGGGCUCCUCUUAAACGGGUGGGCUCGCUUAAGCAUGUCGAGUUUCCGCCUUCGUUUAGUAGUUCGGUGUGGAAACCACUUUCCGUAGGCUCCAGUCAGUUGUCGUUGAAUCUGGGCGAGGCUGUAGACCCGCGGCUACUAGUCUACUCUUCGUAGAUCUCCUGAGCGAGACAAACCUCGGGUUGCCGUGUUAACACCCUUCCUUACCAGUUGGAUUAUAAGAUUCUACAAAGGUUCACCAAGCCCAACCAAGAUAGAAGAUAUUGAAGUUUAUGCAUAAAAGCGGAUACCAAGACAAGUUGCCUUUCUUUACAACAAUGCUUUCCGUGGUCGUGCUCAGUGUUUUUAUAAGCUUUUCCGUAACUGCAAAAGGUCUUUUGUAUUGAUGGUUAGCUGUGGGGCUAGGAAAGAAAAGAACCCAUUUAUAGGAAGAUGACGUUUACUCUGUAUCCAAAGCCUUAUUUAUUUCUUGCUUGGGCUUUAUUAAUCAAAUCAAUAGUUACGAUCAUUAAAGAACCAAAAGGUUUGCUCGAUUGAGAGAUGUUAUUAGUAAUCUUAGACAGCUCGGCAAGCAGCUGAACUCUUUUCCUAUUUCUUGAGCUUUCGGCAAGCAGCUGAACUCUUUUCCUAUUUCUUGAGCUUUGGAUGGAUCUCAAGGGCAAAGUACUCAUUCAGGGCAUUACUAGGAAGAUUCAGAGGGGGCGGGCACUUCUGUCAAGUCCUAUAGGUUCCUCAUUUCCAUAUGCUAUAGGUUCCUCAUUUCCAUUAUGAGAGAAGCAAUCCGACUUUUCUAGGGCUAGGCUCAGAUCUCUUUUGAGGCACAGUGUCUUUAAACCCACCCCUGCGAUGCCUAGGUAAAGCGGCUGAAGCUUAUUGCGCCUAAUUCCAUUGAGCUGCUAGGCUUCCUUCCUUACCUAAGCCCUUAUUCGGAAAUGAAGUGGAAGACGCUCCGCCUAGGUUCAUUGGCCUUUUUUCGAUGUCAAUGCUCUUACAGUGAUUCUCUAAUCUCUCAAAAUCAGGGUCGAAAGAAGAACGAACGUCUAGACUUUUCUCUGUCUGUGGGGCUAUUAGUCACUUUUCUCGCUCCUCAAGAAAGACGGCUAGAAACUUCCUAUUAGGAAUGGUUUCCUUUCAGGUUCUGUUGUUACAAACCAGACUGUUAUAACAGGUCAGGCAGGGGAUACGGAGAACUCAUUUCAUGCAGUACAGCUAUGAUCGGGAAAUAGCUAUGAUAAGAUAAGACUGAAUGUGUGUGUGAAGGAUAUGGUUCUGGUUCUCUUCUGUCACGUUCCUUCAAUCAAAGAAGAAUCCAUGCCCAGGGCUAGUGCCAUCGCAUAGUUCGAGUCUUACCUGCGUGCCCAACAUCCACUCCUUCUAGUCGAGUGCAGUGCGGCGCCUUUAACGAUGAGAGAAGGCGAUACCGAAGAUAAUAACUCAAGGGCACUGGCUACUUAUACAGUAACACGGCAACGAUAGAAGCGGAUAGGCAUUCACGUUAGCUUUCAAAGAGACUCGUUGUUUGGCUUCCUAAACCAGUAAUGAAAAAAGGUGCACCCACGGGCUGGCUAAGAGAAUUCUGCUUUUUCUGAGAAAAGUUCACUUAGGUAAAGAUCCAUCACGCACUUCAAUCCGAACAUCAAAGUUCGCUUUCUAUACUCCAUUUCAUCAUUUGGCACUCUUAUUACAUUCUUUUUGAGAUGGAAAGCACAUGGAAAGCACAUCGUCUCAUUCAAACAAAGAAUGAUGGGUAAUUGAACUCUAUCCAAGACUUAUACUUAAUAGGCUAAAGGGGCUUAGGGAACAGCUAGACGAUCAAAGAUAAAGCAAGCGGAUGCAAAGCAAUCAAAGAGCAUCACCACUUGCUUCGUCUUUUACUUUUAAGAAAACAUCGAAUGGAAAGCGAAUGGAAUGAAUGCACAGCGACUGAUACCGUUAGCAUUAACUCUGAACUUCUCGUUGGAAUAUUCAUGUUUGUUUAAGCAAGAGGACCCGUAAGAGUUGCACAUGGAAAUAGCUAUAUAGAUGAUCCUAGCGAUACACAUGGAAAUAGCUAUAUAGAUGAUCCUAGCGAUACACAUGGAAAUAGCUAUAUAGAUGAUCCUAGCGAUAAUAACUAAAUUCGCUUUUGAAAGAUAGGUGUUUUUCGCAUCAACUACUUAUCCCCUCGGUGGCGGGACUGAUCAAUAGUCCGUGUUGCGCUACGGAGCGUGUUGCCAGGUUUGUGGCCGGGUGAGGAGAUAACUAUCUCUGGUGGAUCCUGCCCCGGGGAAGAAAGAGUCCAACUAUUCCUUUCUUUUGUGUAAGAGAACGCGGAAAGCUAUAUAAAAAGGGAACAACCUACUCUAAAGAAGGAGCUAUCAGCUCAGGAAGAAGAACAUGAUUCGCCAGAUAGUCUCCAUUGAUUAUUAGCCAGAUGAUUGUCUUAGUCUACCCGCAAAAGCUAUCCAAGCAGAGACAGCAAACCCUAAGGUAGCUAGCUUGAGAUUCUCCUAGACUUAUGAAAUAUAGAGUGUUAUAGGCUUUAGCGCACCUAUGAAUAGAGUGUUAUAGGCUUUAGCACCUAACCUGGAGGUUUCAACUAAAGUACUCGCGGAACCCCCGCAAUAGAGAUAUUUGACCUCUAAGCCGCUCUUGCCCGCCUUUAAUUAAUCGAAUAGAAAAGUGCAAUCAAUCUGUCGAUCCUUAUUUGACCAUAAGCAAGUAGCUGUCUCGUCUACACCCGGAAUCCGAAAGAAAGGGCCAAGUCACUGGACAAGUAACUACGUCAGUGUAGCGGCAGUGCAGUGCUACUGUGUAGGUAGAGAAGCCGAGGGAAGUGAGUUUUUAAGUAGCACGCGCCCCGAUAGUCCUGGGUAGUGAGGAAGCAUAACAAGCAAGAGCGCUCGGUAGUGAGGAAGCAUAACAAGCAAGAGCGCUCACGUGAGAGAAUUCGCCGGUGCAAGACGUUGACGUUAAUCUGGAAAAGCUAUACUGUUAGGUUAGGUAGAGCCAGCAAUAAGGUUUCAAAUGACAUUAUAGGAAAACAAGAAAACAAGUAAACGAACCGUCCGUUGCGCAAGAACAAGCGCAUUAGGAGUUUUGGAAGCAAAGCAGUGUUCUUACUUACAUACUAAAGCAGUGUGUUCUUACUUACAUACUGAAUCUAUUUAGGGGUCGCUUCUUCAUAGGGUUUUCUUCAUAGGGGUCGCUUCUUCAUAGGGGUCGCUUCUCAAUAAUGGGAAGGGUUUUCUUCAUAGGGGUCGCUUCUCAAUCAAGUUAUGGAACAAGCAAUGCAGUGUUUAGUCACAUUACUAUAUAAGAUGUAAGUGAGUUAUAUUUUCUUCGUUAUUACAAUUUAUGUUUCCGUGCCAAGCCAACAAAGACUUAUUACUUUCGAACAGCAUCUAAUCCUGCUUCAAAGCUAGUACUUUAUGAUUCCCCGACUCGAACGAAAACUCAAUAAGCGUAAGUGCCUCGAAUUGAUUCUUUUGAGAAUGUCCUAUACUCACAAACACUAUAGUCCGGAACUAUCUAAUGCUUGUUGGCUUCUGGAACUCGACUACUUGUUCUUUCUUAGUUACUUGUUCCAUUGCUUGUUGGCUUCUGGAACUCGACUACUUGUUCUUUCGCGCUUGUUCUUUAAGAACUUGAUUCUGCUUAACCGAAAUAUAGACAAGAAAUAGGACUAUAGUAAUGAAUUCUUUCUUGCCGUUAUUGCCGUUGAGAUACCAGAUACUUGACUUUUGACUGCUUGAGCAACCCCAUUAAUAAGUCUGGGCCAGUAACACCAACAAUGGAAUUGAAAGCACCUAUUAUAGAAGUGAAAAAACACCUAUUACUCUCGGGUCGGGGAACAAGAUAAUAGAGUUGGGAUCGAGUCUAGGUUAAGCAGUGAAGUCGUCCGCAGAGGAAGGAAAGUGUAGUUAUGGGGCAGAAUCAACUAUUGGCUUUCUUUGAAGAGGACCGUUGACAGGUUACAGUUAAGUCGGUGAAGAACUCAAACCCAGUAUUGUUUCUUGGAGCAUAAUCGAGUACUUCUUCAGCGUUAGCAUAAAGUCAGGGGUAGGGCAGCAGACUAUCUUACUUGCUUUUCAGCGAGGUGUGGUCGACCUCUUCUCUUGUUGGUAACGAAACAUAUUGUCCUGCUUCCCCGCAAGUCGUUCUUUUAAAUAUAGUUUCUUUGGGUGCUUCUCCACUAAGAUCUUUUCCUGUAAGAUUCUCUUCUGCGCUAGAAAGAUUCAAUUCGACAAGUUAUAAACGAGUCCUUUUUUGAUGAGUUCGAGCUGGGUCUAAAAGUGCUGUUAUUGUUGUUGGCGACUCGAAUGAAGAAGCUGUUUCGAGAAGUCAAAGGAUCUGGAUACGUAUCUUCUGCAGUGCUUGUUAAGUCUACUUGUUUUUCUGUUGCGGUAAGAUAGGAAGCUAUGCUAAAGAGUGUUGGUGACGAGUCUCUUUACGUUCUUGUUAAAGUGCAAGUUUCAGUUUCAAGAUCGGGAUCAGACUCCUGAGCAGGAUAUGCAAGUGAAGUAUCAAGUCCGAGACCAGUGUGAGUUGGCGCCUCAAGCAAGACAAGGCUCAACAAUUAACCCGAGGAAACAGGUUAAUGCCAGCUUUUCAGACGUGGAUAGAGCAAAGCAGACCGGAUCAUCAUCGGACCCGAUUCGAAGUAGUCGGAAGUGAUACUAUACUUCUCUUUCCGCUUUUCAACAAGUUGUCCAAAUUCGUAGACGGAGUCUCCAGCCUCGCAGACAUCGCGCCUUUCAACAUCCCACUGAUCAGCGUACGGGUUCAUUACCUCGGUUUGUAACCAAUUGACCGUCUGUCUGGCUUAGCUUAGAAGUAGACAUGGGCAAAAACUCAAAUACCCCCGACUGGUAAAGAGGUAAGUCCAAUAUAAGAAAAUGAGAAAAUCGUAUCACAAAGUACUGUCAUUAUAGACCAGUUAUCUUGAAGCCUCCCUAACCCGAGUAAAGCGAUACUGAGUCAUUAGAAUAAGGCAACUUACUUGUAACACAAAACCUACUAUUAUGUCUAUAACAGAGCGAUAAGAUUCUUGACCUCAGUAAGCACCAACUGACCUGUAAUUUGACGUAUGACUACAGCGCGCAUGACGCAUGGUGAAAGCUUAAUCUCAUCUCUAGUUAUACCAACGAGGAGAGUCAAUCUCAACGUUGCUAAAUAAGGAUCGAAUCGAAGUUGUAACGCCCACUCUUACUCUUUAGUAGACUCUAACACUUAAAGGAAAAAACCUUGACUAUGGAUUUGCCGAUACCGAGCUGAGUGAAUGAGCACAUGAUGAAGGAAUGCUUUUACAAGCGGUAGAAAGAUGUUCGAUGCUUACCUAGAUGGACAAGCAGUCAACCUCUAUUCCCUCAAGCAGUCAACCUCUAUUCCCUUUGGAUUGUUCAAGUAGAAAAUGCACUUUAUAGGGUCCUGAGUGAAAACAAACGAGCUUAAGAAUAAAUAGAAAGCGCUUAAGAAACAGAGUCGCGUGAAGACCAGCUGGACCGCCUUCGAAGGCACACGUGAAGAGAACCCCGGGGGUUUGAUUAAUUGAUUUCUGACCUCCCCCGUCGUAAUAGGCUGGUUUCCGGGGGCUAAGAAGCUUACUUUGAUGGGACUUCCUCUACCUUAAGUCGAGUGGCCUUACACUCCUAUCGGCCGGCUCCUUUAGCCGCAUCGAUUGUUAGAGCUCAUACAAAGUGUGUUUUUUUCUGAUAGUAUAUAGGGACUGAGUCAAGACUUCCUUUCCACAUAUUGAUCUGGCCCUUCUCUGCUUUUGUUAGUGGUGCAACACUACAAGGGUACAAUCCGUUUAGGUACAAGAACAAGGAGCUACUGCGGGACAAUAAGCCCUUUUUGCAAACUGGAAAUGCUCUUAGUAGCCAAGGUAAUCAAAUGAAACAACUUUACCACCAAGGAAACUCAGAAUGAAUUUGAUCUAUCGAGAGGGCUGAAGCCACAAAGAAAGAAAUCACUCAUCAAUUGUGGAACGAGUAGGAAUUUCGCAGAGCAGGAAAAGAUGCAUUUCGAACUUCGUAAGCGGAAGAAAAAGAAUGAAUGAAAUGGAGCUAUAUAAGUUAGAGGCAUAUUACCCCGAAUCUCUACCUACUAGGAGCGGACUUUCUGCGCACCCAACUCUCCUAAUCAAACUCGGGCAAAGGGAAAGAAAGCCAAUUACAAAAGCAUUAACACCAAUAACAGGCAACACCUAGACUGAGCACCCAAAGCAAAGAGACGAGUAGUAAGUGCCAAAAAAACUCUCCUCUCCUAAAGCUAUAAGAUCAAGAUACCGCCCUGAAGUGAGAAAGGAAGCUGCAAGCGAUGAAGCGGGGCCAAGCAACAGAGCCUCAUUCUUUGAAUAGUUUACAGAGGAGAGUUGGAAGAUCAGAGGAGAUAUUCGAAAUUGGCUAUUCGGCAAGUAACUACGUAAGUGUAGCGGCAGUGUUGUUUACCGAGAAAACGCAAAAAGAGAAUUCCAAUAAGGUCACUCAGGAGGGGCCAAGUAACUACUAAUGUUACGCGGCAGGAGUUCUGGGGCUUCGCUACCAAAAAACACGGGGUUUUGUAAAAAGAUCAUUGAAAAAAGGUCCUCUAUUAGGGGAAAUUCCGAUGCUACCUUUUUUCUCGGGAAAACGUCAAAUUCUCUAUCUUCUUGAUCGGCCCAGGAGGGAAAAUGACGAAGCUACCUUUUUUACCGGGGUUUUAUAAACUUCCCUUUCCACUCCAGUAGUAGCUUGGCGUCUGGCACUUCGUCAUCAAAACCUUGUAGUUACUUGUCUAGUAGUUACUAGUAGGACUUGCUUUAGACUGUUACUAUAUACUUAGUGGAGCGGGUCUGAUAGAAGGGGAAGUGGAGUUUGGUGCUUUAGCUCCUAGUAUACGAGUAGUCCAGUGGUCGUGGUCUAGUUUCAUCCGUAUUAGUAGACAUAGUCCUGUGUUUGGGGUUGUCGACUUGUCUAGUAGUUGCCCGCCCCUGGUAGUCCUGUUCGAGUAAGAAGAAGUAAAGAAUGGAACGUCGUUGGCAAGUGGAGUUCCGCUAAAGAAUCAAGUCCAGGUAAGAAACUAGGGCUUAUGGAACUUCGGCAAGGAAAGCAGUUCCGUCUGAAGGAGAGGUAUGCAAGAGUGUGAGUUUCAUCCCCCAAAAGUAGUUGUCUAGACUUACAGCAAUUAGUACAUCUGAGACUAACGAGUGGAAUUCUUGAAAGUAAUAAGCUUCAAGAGCAAGAGCUUAACUACUAUCACAGGAGAGCACUAAGGAUUUGAAACAGAAGCUGUACCACCGGUCUUCCACUCUCACUCGAUUAGUGGACAUAGCCAGAGUCUCUUGGGGCGCGAGGAAAGCCUAUAACUCUUGUACUGUACUUUUCCUCUUGCUCAUAUACUUAUAUCUGUUUUGUUCUUGCCAGUCAAUACUAACCGAGACCCCUCUUGCUAAUGAGUCUGUUUCUCUAUCUCCUGUAGUGGAUCUUUCCAUUCACCAAGCAACUACUACAAAGGGCCAAGCAACUACUAACGACCGCCAAGCCGACCUAGACUUUACUUCUCUUUAAGAACUGUCAACUCCCUUUCCCCCCUAACCUGGACUACCUGGACUACCUGGAAUACUAUCCGAUUUCUCCUCAACUUACUAUAAGGGCCUCUCAUAAGUACCCGAGCUCAACUCAGUCAAUUAAUACAACAAAUACAGAUGAAACAAAUCAUUCCACUCGCUAACUACAGGCUCGGCUCAUCUAACUCAAUUCAUUUCUUUUCUACCUGAAUUAGGCUCACCAGGACUACUAACUACUGGGACUACCACUACUGGGAUUCAGCAAGUCAGUAAACUACCCGAGUCAAAGAAUUCCACCACCCUACCCGAGCCUUACCCAUACUUUAGAACCAGAACUUUACCACUACCCUGAAGCUACAUACCUAGCAACACUGGCAUCAGGCUUACUAGCGACAUACCCAUACCGAGCACGCAAUCAGGCUUGGACUCCUUAGCUUCAUUCUGAGUACCUAGAGGUCUCCUCCGAGCCUACUUAGCUGCAUUCUGUAACUCACACUUUGUUAAGUCUAAUAUUGGUCAGCUCCCGAACCACAUAAUAAGUAGGCAAACAACUACAAAGACAUAGCAAACAACCAACCGGAGUAGCUCUUUGAACUUAGCAGCCCCGAACACAGGACCACUGACUUAAGGCUUCUACCCAAUAGUUCCAUUCUGAAUCUACUAAGUUGGGUUCUUAAACUACUGGCUUUUAUUCUCAAACUACUUAGUUUCAUUCUUUCAUGACUUAGCCCGAGGUUAGAGUUUCUUCUUCCUUUUGGUCUGUAACUACUGAUUGGUAGGCACUUAUCAAUAAUACAUAGCGGUGUGGACUUCUGGUCAACUGAGUUAAGUAAGAGUGAAGGCUGGGAUUUACUGGGUUGAUUCCGAUACUGCUGAGUGGAAUUCUGAAACUAGAGCUUCAGGCUUGCUGGUACUGCUUUCAGGCUUGGAUUCACUGGUUGUAGCCCUGUUAGGUGGGGUUAGGCACUAGUUUGGUUGUUAGGUGCCUCAGUCCUUUAGUUAGUAGUUGAUGUCUGGUUGUUAGAUGCCUGGGUUGUUAGAUGCGCUAGUUUAAGUAUAGUCGCUAGGUGCCUUAGCCUGGUCGUUAGUGGGUUGGCUCUGAGUGGCACUGCUUUAAGCCUGCUCGGUAUUAGUUGCAUUCCGAGAAGCACUGGCUUCAGUCUUUGAGUUAGGUAUCUGAGUUUAGUUGUUAGUUGUUUCAGUCUAAGUAUACAUAGCACCAGUCCUGUUAGCACUGGGUUAAGGCUUAGAUGCAUUGGCUCCAUUCUCAGAUGCACCGGUUGAAGACAGAGUGACACCAGCAGCAGGCUUAGCAACACCAGUAUCAGCCUAGGAAGCACUUGUUUGCGUCCCGUUGGCACCGGGGUAAGGCUUGGAGUUACUGCUUGAAGUCUUGGAGUUACUGAUUUGAUUCUUUGACUCCUUAGGUUCAUUCUGGGGCAUAUGGGUUUGGUUCUUAGAUGCAGUGGUUAGAGAACUUAGCUACCUAGCUAGAGGAUGAGUAGACACCGCUUCAGUCUAGUAAUUAGUGGUAUCAGGCUUGUUAGCUCAGGUUGAAGCCUUAGCGACAGUAGUUAGAGACCCGAGCUACACCGCAUCAGCCUAAGUAUACCCAACCCAGCAGCAGGCUUAGUACCAAUAUAGAGCCUCAGUAGCACUACUAUCAGUCUGGUUGGUAGCAGCUCCAUUCUUGGAUUUAGUGGUUUCGGUCUGAGUGACACUUGUUUGGUUCUCUCGCUCCCCGGUUUCAUUCUCACUUCCCUUGCUUGCAGGCUGAGAUGCACCGGUUAUAGCCUCAGCAGCUGCGGUCGGAGCCUGUAACUACAUAGCAUCAGACUGAGCCCACUUAGCUUCAUUCCGAGCCUAAGCCUACCCGGUAUCAGUCUGUAACUCCUUAGCCUCAUUCUCGGUGGUACUACUUAGAGCCUGUAACUAAUAGCAUCACACUGAGUCUGCCCUUAAGUAAAAGUGUCUAUUUACUGUUCUCCUUAUAGCUGACUUCGGUUCUUCUGACUGUUCUCCUUAUAGCUGACUUCGGUUCUUCUUUCUGGAUCAAGUCCCAGGUAAGAUCUGAGGGCGAAAGCAGUAGGUAGGGUUGGAGACCCACGAGGCUUGAGCUGUUCUCGAGUCCAUAGUCUCGACCAAUUAUAUUGUUCUCGAUCCGGUCAUGCGAAUAUCAAAUAAGACAUUUCACGCCUCUAAGGUAAGGUUAGAUUCUGGUCGUGGGCUGCCGCGAUCAUGAUGAAAUGGGCCUUUUGAAAGGAAGUUAGGGUUUUGGCUUACGGCUUAUCUUAGAUCUGGCAGAGAAAAGAAAGGUAUUGAGCCAACUGGAGCCCACUCGCGGGAGCCACCGAGGAACUCACCCAUCACCCUCACACAGUUACCACUUAUUUCAUAUAUAAGGGAUAGACAGAUACUUGGGUAUUUCUUUCUUAUAUCAUUCACUGGGGAAUUGGGAGUACUUAUCUAUUUGAUUCUUUGAAAUUUCUUAUCUAUUUCUUAUUUCUAGAUUUCUUAUCUAUUUCUUAUUUCUAGAUUUCUUAUUUCUUUCUUAUUUAUGGAUUUCUUAUUUCUUUCUUAUUUCGGAUUUCUUUAUUCUUUUAUAGGCAUAGGCAACCGAAGAAGCCUUAACAAACGCGCUCAGAAAGACACAGAUGCGACGCCAAAACAAGCAACGACGAGAACAACACGCGACAGCGGACGCGCAAAUCAGCUGACUAUUUUGACUAGCAGGAGAAACGCCCGAAGCGAUCAGAUACCGACAAACUGAGAAUCAUGAACCACACAAACGACCAAGCUCCAAAAAAGUCCAACUUCAGAAGAUACAUAUUAGUAACUCUGUCCAGAGCUGAUGCAACCAAGGAGAGAGCGACCAUCAAAAGACAAGAAAUUGUACUAAGGGUAGAGAAGGCACUAAAGUGCUUCAGUAUUCUAGUCGCGAGGGAGCAUCACGCAGAACAGGGGCUUCGAACACCCAGUCACUCACCGGCAAGCGUAUACUAGACAAGAAAGCCAGCAAGCUUCAAAACGAGUACUUUCUUCCUCCCCUCACCAGGUUAGGGAUAUUCUAAGAAUAGGGUACGAUCUAGUCCCGCCGAUUCCUCUGAUCUAGUCCCGCCGAUUCCUCUGAUCUUGGGGACUUCCCCGGAGCUGAACCUUUCUACUGUGGAGCUUCUGUUUGGACUGGCGAAUGAAACAAGUAAGUUGCAGAGACAAGCAGCGUAUACUACAAAGGCGAGGAGAUAACCAAUAAGUAACGAAUGCAACACUAACAGAUAGACGACAACUUCAUAAUACAAAUCCAGAUUGGAACCACUGCUAGCAGGCUCACUACCCUUGCUUUGGUUCUGUAAUAACUUAUGAGGAUCUGACUUACUACUACCUUAGUCAUGGUUUCUUAUCACUAUCAAACUAUAAGUAUGAAUAUUGCACUAGAUCAGACUCUCUAUUAAUACUCUAAUUCUUAUUGUGUUCGUUAUCUAAGAUAAGACUAAAGUUCGGAGAGGCAGACUAACACUCGCUCAUAGGAGAUCCGUACAUGGAGUUCAAUCUAUUUAAAUCUAUUGGCUAGUUUUGAUUUGUUUAGUUCUAUUACAAAGUAUACGUUGAUUAUACGUUGUCCGCACGUUGCCUGUACGUUGCCUUUAGUCGAGUUAAAGCCUUAUUGGUUGGUGCCAUGCCAUACGGAGGCGUCAAUCAAUGUUUCUUCAAUCAAUGUUUCAAUCAAUCCAAUAGGGUUGGUUUUGUGCCAUACUAGGGUUUGGUGUCAAUCAAUUCAUAAUAGGCUUGUGUUACGCGCCAAGUAACUACUACAAAAACAUAGCUGCAAAUGAAUACGUUAUAACUCGAGGAAACAUGAAUACUUUAUAACUAAUUAUAACCAAGUCCUUCUCUUGGGAGUCCUAAUCUAGAGCGGCAGUCCCUUCUUCCGCUGUUCUGGCUUUGAUGCGAGGGCAGCGUCAGCUGCUGGCUCCUACUUCCUUUCUUUCUAGUUUUCACCGUAAAGUUUCACCCUCGAGUCGUUGUUGAAGGGUAUCUGUAUAUACUGUGGAUGCCUUCUAUUAGUGCUUCCCCACUACUGUGGAUGCCUUCUAUUAGUGCUUUCUUCACCAUAAUAAAGAGAAAGAGAAUCAAGAUGGAAAGUGUCCUCAUACGAUGCUGGUAGUUCUAUCUUGUAGGCAUUUUCACCAAUGCGUUUGAGAACAGCUCUUGGAAUGGUCCAUCAGCUCUAGGCUUGAGCUUAGCAAAUUGUCCUCGCGGGAAAGGCUCCUUUCGGAGAUGAACCCACACCGGAUCACCUUCUUUGAACUCAGCAAACUUGCGAUGCUUGGCAGCUUGAGUUUGAUAGAGCACAGGAGCAGAGUAGGUAACGAGUAGCUGUUCUUUCAAAGCAAAGCACUAGCCCUUCUUUCUAUCCGUUCAAGCAAGGUAAUUGGUAGGCGCGAGCAUUCCUGUGUGAUUCAAGUUCGUUCCAGUGAUAAUUACAGGAUUGUGGAAGGACCUACGACCUAAAGAAGGGAAAGCUACGAAAGAGAAAAGAAGAAGAUCCAACUCAAAUGUAAGGGAAAGAAGCACCGAGAAACUCAUAAUCCUUGUUGUUAGUUAGAUUCUAAAGAAAGAAGUGUCAAAUCACUUGUUUUAAGCAUCCAGAAAGUCGCAUUGGAUAUAAGCAUCCAGAAAGUCACAUUGGAUAUUUGUAUAUAUAUGUUUUUAAGUGGUCAAACAAAGGCAAGGAGAAAAGAGGGAAGCGAUAUCAAGGUAGAAUCCUUAGAAGUGAAAGUAUCAAGUCACUACGAAAGUCAAGUUCCAGUAUAGUAUUUGAUUUCUCUUGUGUUAUAUUUCUUAUUGUUAGAUUCAUUAUUAAUUACUAGACUUCCAUUCCAUUCAUGGUUUACUAAACACUGGGCCAACUCUGCCCACUGCCCCAUUUGUUUCCCACUACACUACCGUCUACAAUACUCGAGUACCAAGUGGCCCAAUUGAGGAUAGGAUAACUCCACUUUCUGGGAAUUGCUCAUUACCUCGUAAGCCUUACAAAGAGAAGGGGCUGCUAGUAAGGUGAAGCAUUAAGGCAUAAAUCGAUGCUAAUCCCCGACUGCAUAGCAAGCCGAUGUUAUAAAGUCAGUCGAUGCCUAGCUCCUAGUGUGAAGGCCAGCAAUCUCUCGUUUAUCUAAAGAAUCCCAUUAGCGGUUAACAGGGCUCCUAACCACCUGGCAAUCUUCACCUUCUUUAGGGUGGGGGACAUUCUCUGUCUUAGGCGAAUCAAUCUCUAUGGAGGGCCAAGUCACUACUAGGUUUAUGCUUUUACUACUGAGUUUCAUUCUGUAUUCUGCUAUUCUGUAUUUCAAUAAGGAUUCCAUUCCUGUUGAAAGAGUUGAACUAGUGCUUUACAGGCUCUCUAAACACCCGACCUCCACCCUAACAAGUAAGUCAACUAAGUCAGUAAACAAAGUCAGUAAACCAGCCGACCCGAGCCUAGUAACAGACUUUGGGCUUCCUCCUAGACUACUAUACUACGCCUCUCCUCUGUAAACUCAUUCUUAUUUCAAAACUUCAAGUCGAGUGUCUCACUCAGGUGCCUCCGCUCCUAUAACGGAAUUAUGACUUGCUUCCAUCUUACUUGAAACAAGAACUCCCGGCUCAGCUAACUCCGGCUACUCUCUUAUAGAAUAAGAAUACCUCUGGCUCCGCUUUGAAACUUAGACUUAAGCUUCGAAUACCGGAAUUGGUCACUAAGCCCUUGAAUCACUGGUAGCAAGGCUCGAACUCAAGCUUCAGAUCUCGUUGCCAAUACAUACGGAUGAAAUAAGAAAGGGGCAGAUCUUGUAUAAGACUCAGAGUUGAACCAGUUAAGUAGAAGGCUAAGAAUCUAAGUAGCAUCCUUUUCUAUGACCAGAAAACCUAAUCUAGUAUCAGAGGGUAACUGCGCUCUCAACUCAAAAGUAUUAAUUGAACUCACAACUAGGAAUACAGAAUUACAGAAUGGAACGGCGUAGUGCUAGUCUAGUUCACGGGCUCCUUAGCUAGUGUUCGGCAACAAGAACUAUCACUCCUACAUCGGCUUAUCCAACUCAGGCUACAAUAACCAUCCUAAGGCUCUCAUCUCGCUGGCAACUAUCUAAUCUUGCCGAAGUCAACUAACUACUACUGACCAAGGCCUAAACUUACUAUAAGAGCUGACACUCUAACCAUUAACUUCAGGGCUGCAAAGCUACUAUAAUACAAUACCUGGCACCCGAGAUACCCGAUUGCAGCUUACCUCGCCCGAUAGACCCAUACUAGUGUUUGUUCCCUUGCUUGCUCAUUUGCCGCUGAUAGUUCCGUUGCUAGGCUUUGAAGCGAGUCUAAGAGUGGAGUUCUCUCUUGUGUUUGCGACUCGAGAAGAAUCAGUGUGAACUCCCGAAACCUAGACAUCUUUUCAUGAUGAUUUGAAUGUUGCUUCAGUGUUCGAAAGAUUCCAUGAAGUAUUUGUAGCCUAAACACCAACAGUCUUUACAGCCAGGUUAAUUAGAUAGAAGCGGUUAAUUCUAUACAUGAGAGAGGGAUUCCCCAAAACGUUACUUGUUAAUAACUCUACGGAGGCGAAGAAAGGACGUAGGUCAGAUUACUCCUUUAUAUACAGAGGCAAUAAAGAUUCCUGUCCUGGUUUACAAGGCGCAACAAGUAUUGUUUCGGGAGUUUCUCCUAAAAUCCUAGAUUACAAAACAUUAGUGAAGAAAUUUCUCUUUGAUUGAGUUGAACAAGCAACUAAGCUAAGAUCAGAGGUUAGCAAAGGGUAAGCUUUGUUUAGUAUAUAAUAUGAGUUUGUUUGGUAAUCAUAGUGAGAAAUUAGAUUCUUUUUGUUUAUAGCAGGUGUCAGUUCAAUAUCAAUUCCAGUUUGCGAGAGGAGCGGACUUGACUGUUUCUAAGACGGAGCUACUACUAUAGUAAACCAACUAUACUGCCUCUUCUGGGCUUACUUUCAUUACCUUACCGCUUAAUCGCAUUCUUUCACUUAGUGUUAAACCUCUAAGACUUGAAUCACUGCCAACAAGACUUACUUUAGUGUCAAUAAUACCGUAACUAAAAACUAGGAAUUCCACUGGCUUUCAGCACCUUGCUUUAAAACAGGAGUUAGUGCUUCUCUGACUUUCACUUUUACCUAUGAUCCUGACUUUCCCGCUUUUCACUCUUGAACCACUGAAAUAAAGCUUUACUGCCUGUAGGUCUUACUCUCCUUUUGAAUCAAGCUGGAACACUGCCCAAUGGAAUAAAACCACUAACAAUAAGAACAGAACAGGGGCCUACAAGACUGAACCAAGCCCUAUAGCUGAUAAAACUAGUGAGACCAAUACUUCCACAAAUCAAUAGGAAUCCUCAAAAAGAGAUACGGAGCGAAACCUGUGCUUCUCAUACGAUAACUUAUAGUAAAGAACUGAACGAACAACUAGGAAUUCUGCUAAUAAGAACUCGACUUGGAACUUUGCCUUUGCCCCCUUGCUUGGAAACUUUGACUUAUAAUAGUGAGUCUGUCCUUUCAACGGGUUGAUAUGAAUCUAGAUCGUCGAGCUCAAUUUCUAUCUUCUAAAUAAUAUAGCUAAUAGGUCUUGCGCUGGUGGAGGAUUCGAUCAGUUCCCAUCAAAAUAUGGAACUCAACGGGGUCGGUCAGUGUGGGUGUGGUGAAUACGCAUGCUCGCACGUAGAUCAGACCUCAGUGAAUGACUUAAUCUGGUAACCCUUUAACCCAGCCCUUAAUUCUACCUCCUUCCAUACUAACGAAGGUCAGUUUCUUAUUAAUUUAGCAGUUUCUUAUUCCUUUUUUCGCAUAGCAGGUAUAGCCUAAGAAUCCUCUCAUUGAUCCUGCUGGUCUAGCCUACAACUCAUCCUCCUAUUCUAUGGAUCCUUCCAGUCUAGCCAACACCUAAGAUUCUGAUUCUAUGAAUCCAGCAUCGCUUCAAAGUCCUUCCCCUUCCAUUAGUCCAAGAUUCAAUCAUACUCCAAUUGCCAGGAGAUCUCAUACACAAUAAGAUAUGGCUCCAGGUAAAAAGGUCUAUAACCAAGAAAUGUGCAAGCGAAACCAUGCAAUCAAACGAUUUCGAGCGUCGCAAGGAAGCAAAUGCAAGCCUAUAGUCUAGUAUGCUUUCUUUCGUUUAACCUUCCUAACAGUCCAAGCCUCUAGUAUGCUUUCGUCUAACCUUCCUAACCGUCCAAGUCUCUAGUAUGCUUUCGUCUAACCUUCCUAACAGUCUAAGCCUCUUCUUUCAGUUUGAGACAAAUCCCCAAUGACACAGUAAUCAUCUCUGUUCUGACUGUUGCAAGAAUCGGUCAAAGCUCUUUAAAGAUCCGCUCCUUUCUUUGAUUCCGAAAACACUAUCUUUCCUGUUCCAUAAAAUGAGUACUUGAUCUGGCACCUUUUAUUCCACUGAUAUAACAGCCGCCUUGCCUUCCUUCCUUCUUAUGAUGAACUUAGCCAGUAACCCAAAAGCAUCGAGAAAGGUCCAGUCCAUCCAGCAUCUUCUUUUAUAUGAUCAUCAGAUUCUUUGUCCGAGCCGAGCUACCUCUUCGAAUCUUACAGCAGGACAAAUCAAACCAUUAUGAACCUUUAAGGUUUCCAAUUCAAAACCUAACAAUUAGAAUGGAGUUUUGCUCCCUUUAUGCAAGAUUGAUGUAUUCCCACUAUUUUGCAAAUCCAAUAGUUCACCAUCUUGAAUAGAUAGUCAUAAGAAUGAUUUUGUGAAGGCAUUGGGAUCGCCCAUUUCGGCGAGAGAAACCUAACCCUAUUCUAUCACAACUUCUUCCUGACAAGAAUCAAAGGGCAGGCAAAGGCACCAAUCAAGAAAUGAUAGAGUAUUUGUCGCACCGUUGAGUCCACCAAUUUCGAAGCGGAGCUAGUCCCCUCCUUGAGAAGAGAGAGAGCUAGAUCGAUUUGGGCUCUAGAUUUGAUGCACUGUUUGUUUGGAUAAAGCGGAAAAGACUAGCCAUCAACAAGGAACUCCUAGAAAGGGAUAGGACCCAUACCUAACGUUUUCUUACCUGAUGUGUAGAAAUAUUGAAAGCUUAUGUCUUGACUUAAACAAUGCUUUUGGGGGAAAUCAAUUCCAGUCCUAUCCUGAAGUGCCCUCGAUUUGACUGUUGUAGGAAAGGUAGAUCGGAGCGAACCCACUAGAGAAACCUGCUAAUCGAAUCCGCUUAAAACUCAUCGACCCGGAAGUUAAGACAAGACUUAGACUAGAAAACGAAAAAGUAUACUGGUUGCAAGCCCAUAUCACCUGUGCCAGCCUGUUGAAAAGCCUUGAGGCUUCCGCCCAUUGCCUACGUAACCAAGCCUGUUCCCGAGAGCAAAGAGUGAUAACAACUUGCUCCUCAGAGAGUAUUGGUUAUUGGUUAUAAGUUCUAUCGCUUACUUUCGAAAGUUCAGUUUUCAUUGACAAUUGAUUUAUCGCAUAAGUAUAAGUUGAGGCAGGAUCACGGAUUGUCUGGAAAGGUAUGGUUUCAUGAGAGCGGGAGAGCGAGCAAAAUACGAGAAGCGAGCACAGAAAGCAAAGCGAAAUAAGGAAGUGCAGAGGCAAGUGAGUCAAUUGCUGUGGGCGUGUUAUCAAGACAUCCUUUUGGUUAGGCACAAGUAUCCAAAGAGUAUAUUACCCCCUUGCUUGAAACUCAAUAUCAUCCAUUUCAUUUGAAGCCAGUCCCCUAAACCUAUAGAUGAGCACAAGGCAGGCAAACCAGUUCUCAAAAGCAAGUGUGAGUUGGAAAGGAAACCCGAUUUCUGGUCUUCAGUCUUCAAGCUUGAUCAAAAAGAGUCGAAUUUAUGUUAUGUCUUUAUGGUUCUACGACGCUAUACUAGAGUUAGGGUUUUCACUGUUACGGUUUGUUCAGGAAAGAUGAAAUAUCAAAUAGAAUGCCAGCUCUUGUGCCCUUCCCGUAUCCAGGAUUCUUUCUAAAGCCCGCCAUUGUUAUAGUGCAUUUUGUAGAAUUUCCAGUAUGAUAGAGAUAGCUUGGAAAGUAGGAUCUUCAGUAUGAAUGAAAAGUAGAACCUUGAAGUGUGUUUUAAAACCGAUAGGGAUCAGGGGCGUGAAAACGUAUUGGGGAAGUCCGCGAGAUUCUUUUGUCUAUUAUGUAGUCAUGCCAGUAGAAGCUUGUUAAACUAAGUGUAGAUAGUUCAUUGUCUUGUAUAGUUAGAGAGAGGAAUUUUCUUUGGUUGUGAAGGCUGUAGGUUUUGUACUUAGUUAGCACUCUGGACUGCUUAUCUCGAAGCUCUGGUUGAAUAACAGUAUACUUACUUGCUUUCUUUCACUCAACAAUAAGUUCUUCCGGGGACCAAAACGAAACGAAGAAAGAGGUAGCCUUUCCUUAAGCGUCCCUUCGCCUCAGUUGGUCAGGUCAAACUAAGCAUUCGUUCGGAGUUGCUAUGAGAAGAGAUACUCCACAGGCCAAGUUAACCGCCGCUACUACGUUAGGUAAUGUCAAUUUGAUAGUAAUGGUUUUCUUACUUGUUAGUUGCAUUCUGUAUCUUAUAAGUUUCAUUCUAAGGUCAAGUGAGUAUCAUUCUUUUACUACAGCAGCUCUUGUCUUCAUCGUAUCAGCUAAGGCGUCAGUGAGAGUUUUUGAAUGAUUUGUUUAAUGUGGCUCAACAAAGAAUUUCGCAAAAAUCUAUUGGGGGCAGGGUACUGGGUUGUUUCAUCCCCAGGGGAAUCCUAAACUCAAUGGAAUUCUUCACUUCACAAGUCGAGGGCAGGUCGUCAAAAGGUUAUCCGGAGCUAUUCAAUGAACCCUGCUGGCAAAAGAAUCUAGUAUUGGCUUUGAAGCAAGCUUGAGUCGAGGGCUAUUCAAUUUCUUCGCUGCUUGUUUGCUCUUUCACUUAAGUCAGAAAUACAGAAUACUGCUAAGAAGAGACGGUAUGACCCGGGGCUCCUGCCGCUCUAGAUUAGGACUCUGGGCCAAGCAACGUUGCCAGGCAAGCGGUUCACUAAUUCCCGUGUUUUGGUGAGUUACUAGCUUCUCGAGUUCUACUACAAAGAUAUUACUUAGGUUCAAGAGAAAGACAGGGUGAAUAGAAAUUCUCUGAUUCAAUUGAGAACACAUGGUUGUUUACUUAUAUCUUAUUAACAUAGAGCUAAUUCUUCUAUAAAGAGAAAUACUACUGAUUCAACUCGCCCAGCAACUACUAGAGCAAUACAAAAUAAUGGAAUUGCAUUUGUUGACUACGGAUAGGUAGGCUCGGUAAGCUAUUCAAGGAGUUGGCUAAAGUCCAAGUAGUAGUCCUGUUUCAAAAGAGCAUUAAGUGAAAGGUCGAGUGAUAAAGUGAGGCAAGGGAAAAGAGGGGAGCAGACUAAGAAGGCCAUAGGUGUUACUAAUUUGUAUACGAGGUGUAACAAAAGGUGUAGCAAAAGGUGAACUCUCUCUGGAAAGGAACAGUUCUCAAGUCUGGGUGCGAAGUAUGGGUAUCUAGAAUGAGCAGUGCCUGUUCGAGGUGUGGAAUCUGUCUUUGUUGUAUGAGUUGACAGAGGAGAGGUUGCCAGCAGCUUAGCUUGUUUCAAGAGAAGAAAGAGAUGUUACCAGUUGCCAGAGGUCGGCAAGCUUUGACUAAUGUUGCGCGUCAGCGAGCCUAACCGGAUCCGCUGAAGAGUCAUUCUUAUAUUAGUAGGAGCCAAGCUACCACCCAUACAAGGCUAUUAUUACUUCUCUCGAAUCUCAGAGAGCAGGGCCAUUCUUAUACUUUAAGAAAGAGGUGGUUCGGUGCUUUACCAGAGGCAGUGGAGGCAGUAUAAAGUACGGAAGCUUCCCUAGCGCCUGUUCCGAUACUAGAUUCUUCCCAACACCCAGCUUUCCAGGCAAUUGCUAACAUUAAUAAGGCUAAGGUCUAAUGCGUAAGAUAAGAGAUGCUCCAGUCCCAGUCAAGGGGUAGAGCAGAGACAAAAGCAAGAAAUCCAGAAAGAAAGUAGGUUCUCUGUAGGUAGGCAAUGAAUUAAACAAGCUACUCCUUUUGCGAAGAAGCGGGAAUAGAAGCAGUGCCUGUUGAGUCAGUAUUGCUAGUUGACAGAGGUAGCUACCAAGACUUGCUCUGGACCUAAAGGUAGAGAAUAGAGUUUACUUAAGCCAGAACUACUACUACUCAGGGGAAUUGGUCACGCACGAGGAUAUCAUUUCUGUCUCAUCUGUCCCAGCCGGUAGGUGCCGGGAAAGUGUUUCGAGAGUCCCUUUCCUCUCUCUCUUCUUUAUAAAUCAACUAAUAGCUUCCCUUUUCCUUUAGCACCCCUGAGCCAAGUUACAUGUUCUGUUGAGAAACCAAAUGCUUCACUUGCUACUGGAUACCUUACUGUUGAUUCUACAGCUUUUGUACGAUACUAAACUCAAACGAGAAAACGCUUAUGGCUUCCUUGCCUUGACUUUAUUCUGCUUCGAACAAUACUUUCAUAGCACUUUCGUCAACAAGGAUAUCUUCCUACCCGGCUUCUAUCGUAAAUGAUACUCGAGCAGAACAGGAACUGGUAUUCGAUGAAAGGUACUUUGUUUAUUGAGUUGGGCUGAGCUGGGCCAUAAUCUCGGGAACCCCUAUUUCUGCAUUGCUUGCUCAAAAACUCUCAACUAACGCUAGAUCUAGAUGAAGCUCCACUCCGUUAGCACAAUGAAAGCCAGUUCUUUCGCCAAAGGAUAUGCACGACAACCCACUCUUCUCUUAUAUAUGUAGGUUAUUAAGAAACAUGCACCUCAAAAAGAGUCACUUCCCUCUAACCUCUACGGCUUGUGUAACUUCCCUCUACUACUUGUUUGGUAUUCAACUCUAAACAACAGGCUCUGCUCAGGCUCCGGCUACUAAUCUCACUCUCCUCUUGCAACUAGCCAAUCUCUCUCCGACUUAAUAUAAGGGCUGACCUGACCGAGUUUCAUCCGUUCUCCUAUAGUAAGUAAAAGAAUCUAGUUGACUUACCGGUCUACUGGGCAAUUACUUAGGGGCUUAUGAUUCUAUAGUUUCCUUUACUCGAACAGCUUAGGAUCCAGAUCUACUGGCCUCUUUUCCUUAUGUGUCGGCGUAGUUACUUAAAAAGACGAGUAUGAAGUGCACUGAAGAAAGUCGCUUAUAUCUUUUUAUAUGAAGUAGCUUAUCUCUUUGUCUAGCAGUUGCCUGCCCCUUACGAAAUGGUUCGCUCACUCCUUGUAUAGGAUCAUUAAUAAUAAAGAAUCCAAAAGCAAAACUCGUAUUGGGUAGGGCCCGAGCUUGAAAUAUAGAGGCUGGGCUAAGUAUCAAAAUCCAAAGGACUCUACUGGCGUCAUCGUAAUAUAACAAGUAGCGACAUCCGCCUUGAAUCUGAAGUGGGAGACCAUACACGGAAUUCCCCCCGGCCCGGUCAACCUUAGGAGACUUUUCUUUGGAAACGGGGAAGGAGUAAGUCAACCGUCUAGCUCGAAACAGGCAACUCGAGUUCACCAAUGCCACAACGAAUGCGAAAUAACCCGACGUUAAGGCACCGAUGGAAUCUGGUUCAGCGUACGUCCUCGGCGACCGCAAUCCUUGGAGCAUUCACCAAAAGUGGAUGGGAACUCUUCCGCUUCUAUAGGUUCAAAUCCUUAGAUAGGUCGAAGAGGAAAAUAAGUGCAAAGUCCCCUCCCCCGGUAAGCAAGCCUUUAACCUCGACUCGAAGCUUUACCACUAGCUAUGACCUUUGCUAAAUGUCUAGAAAGCCUCAUACCCACGUUGAUUAGAAAGGUGAGUUGGGCGCAAGUCAAUAAAAUCCUGAGAAAAACGGACCCUAGAUCUGAUUCUCACACCUCUCCCAUUCAUUCUAUUUUCAAAUGGGAAGCGAAAUAAUGGAUAAGGAAGGGUAGAUAAAGAUCUAUAGAAUAUACAACAACAGGGCGGGCCUUCCUCCGGGGCGAAUAACAAUGGUGUGUGUGUGUAUAGAUUCUCAAAGACUUCAUUUCGCUGCCAACCCUAGUAAGCAAGCGGAAAAGCCCUUUCUUGGAUUUCUGUAUAGGGAAAUGCCUCGCUCGGAUAGGAAAACCAGAAUCAAGAGAGAACCUUUCAACAGCUUCGGUCGCAUCGGGCUUACGAAUUCCUUUGUGAACUUGAAUCGGCCAUUGUCUUUUCCCCAGGUGGUAAAUAACUGACUUAGGCUAUAGCAACCCUCAGAAGACAUAUCCACCUUUAUACUUAAAGGGAGGAGCACACCAACUCUCAGAAGAAUUCCUAGCCUUACAACAACAAUACGCUACAAAUAUCUGAUUAAUGAUGAAUUGGGCCAAAGACGAAACCAAACACGCCCGGAGAUUGCUACUGUGAUGCUUAUUGGGCGGUCUAUUCUUUUAGGUCGAUUUCGCUUGUUUCAAAGUGGACUGACUAGACAAACGAAAUGGCACUAAAGCUUUCACCUACCUUAUACACCACCUUGACGAAAUGAAGUAAUUCCUCUGAUCAGGGAGACAGGCCUUUUCUAUAGAAACCCGUGACACGUGGAACAACAAGCGAUUCCGUAGAGAAAGAUUGGAAACUUGCCGGUAGAUCAACUGACAUGGUCUACGAUCAUAAAACGACGAUAGGGCCUUGGCUUCUUUUGCUAGCUUUUACCUAACCCUUUCGUAUAACCUGAGGUCGCUUUUUCCAAAUUGGGGUAUUGUCUUGGGACUUCCUUUGUCUCUCUCAUAACGCCAUGCUUCCGGCGGAUGCACCUUUCCUUUCCUACCUGCAGAAGCAACGAGUGGUCAUUAUGAGCUCAUGGGGGCUGUGCAACCGUUCCUUAGGCAGAACAACGCCCCUUCCUUCUUUGACGGAGCCAGCUUCACCUGUUCCAUCAGACUCGUUUUGGCUUUGGCCUUCGAGUUCACGAGCACAAACAAAACCACCAGAGCUACCUGUGGAGCCAGAAAAUAAGGUUCUUAAAGAAAAGACGGUUAUGAAAGAAAGCAGUGCCAGUCUACUAUUUUGUAGUCGCUUGUUGAGUAGUGCCUUGGUGGCUCAGAUAAGAGAUAAAAGGAAUUACCCUAUCGCGAAAAGAUGAAACGAGCAAGCAAGGAUGCCAGGAAGUGAGAAAGGUGUUGAUUCCUCUGAUACGCCCUUGUCUCCUGUCUUCCCUAUAAAGAGAUUUGUUACAAAUGAACUAUAACAUAACUUAUGCGGUGUUGAUGGCAAAUACAGUUCCAUCUAUUAGGGUAAGUGUUUUCAUUCCGAUAUGAGUAGCUAAAUUCUCUUAGGUUCGCGAUCCCACGAGACUAAACCCGCUCAGAAGAUAUAUUACUGAGAAUUUAUAUACAAGAGGAAUUUCCACCAACUCCUUGAAACUCUGGGUAGUGCAAAGAAUUCUUUCACUUACACUGAUGCGGACUCCUCUCCUGUAUCUUCACUUGCAGAUUCCCUUUUGUCAACCUCAGAUCUUAGAGUAGAGCCGUUACAACUUUGAACACCAAAAUGAGGAUCAGAGAUUCACCCGACUCUGGAAAGCCAAGAAAAGAACUCCAUCCACAUCCACUCGAAGUAAACAUCUCGCUUAAAAGCCAGUAAGAUACUAUGAUUCCGCCAUGCCCUUCUUUAACCCGGAUCUUGAUAUAGAGCUUCUUCUCUCUUCGUAAACAAAUAUUCCACAAAUACUAAUAUUCCACAAAGGAUUCAACAAGAACAGGGGAACUUCGGAUUCUUCAGCCAGACCCUACCCCAGCUCCGACUCCUGGAACUGUUGCUCAUCCUUAACCAGUAAAUGAUCCAGCUCUUUCCCCUGCAGUAGACUAAUAGCCUGUAUUCUGACUUAUGAGUUGAGAGCGUAUAAAUACAGAAUAGAACUUCACCCCAGGAAACUCCAUUCUGAAAGGAGAGAGCACAUGGUUUGGUAGUGACUUCUUCUAUGAAACCCCUAUCGCUAAUGAUUCUGUUUCUGGACUUGGAGAGUGACAUUAAGAAAUGGGGUAUCGGUACUGUCGCAAGUCAACUCAAUUAAUUAGUAAAGAAAGAGAACUAGGAUUGGUUACCGGAUUCCAUUAGACCGAGUGAGGCUCCAAAAAACAUCUAUUGUAAUAGAAAGAGUGGAGCGGCCCCAAAAGCAUCUAUUGUAAUAACUUGUCAUAUCUAUUACCUUGGCUACCGCACUUAGUCUUGCUUAGCCUAAAACUCACUGCCGCGCCACGUUAGUAGUGUCUUGGCGGUCGUUAGUAGUUGCUUGGCCUAUUAUUAUUGCUACCGCACAACGCGAGCACAUGUAUUGUAAUAACUUCGUUAUGGCUAUCACUUGGCUGACGCACAACAUUAGCAGUUGUUUGUCCCGUUGCUUGGUGCGUAACAUUAGUAGUUACUUGGCCCUAUUAUUAUGGUUAUUACCUUGACUUCGAUACUCCACUCUUAAUACGCUAGGCUAGAUCAUACCUUAUUAUCAUAUUCUUUAUAGUACUUUCUUUCCUGACAAAACUCACUAGCACACCCCGAGAAAUAAGCUUAAGCAUUUAUUCGUAACUAAACUAGUCUUCCGCUUCAGUAGCCCGAGUAGAGGCACCCGUGACUUAUGGAAUAAAGUAAACAAAUGCAAAUGGAUUCCUUUAAGAACGACUUACUCUCUAGAACGGCUGACUUUCAAGAACAGCUCUGACUCUCAAGAAACGAAUGGAGGCAAAACAGCAUAGAGUGAAACCGGUGAACUCGCGCUAGCUGAAGAAGAUAAUGGAGGUGCUCCCAUUUUCAGCUGUUGUUAGUUGGGCGAGUGCUCAGUAAACGUGAACAAAAGGAAGAGAAUUUUUCUGUAUAACCUAGGAAUGGAAGAUGGUGAACAAAAGGAAGAGAAUGACUUCUUUGUAAACUCUACUCUUUUCUUUAUAUGUUGUAACUUGCUUGUUCUACCUUGAUAUGUUAUUUGUGAUACUUGCAACUUUGUCUCGCUGGACUUGCAACUUGAUACUUGACUUCGAGCAGAAAGAAUAGAAUUGGCUGCUAACUAGCCUCAGAUUACCUUUUAUCCACAGGAGCGACAGCAUCGGCGGAGUUUAGCUUCACAUUGCUGUAAAGGGAAUGCUUGAAAGGAUGGAAAGGAAAGAGAUAACAAUGGAUUCUCGUAAGUCUAUAGCUGCCCCAUCUAUAUUAGAAGAAACUAGAAGAACCACUACUACACUCGCAGGCAGGGCUUACAUUAAGGAUAGAAGUAUUUACUUGACCUUUUGAAUGCUGCAAUUUGAGAGGCGGGUGAAGGCACUGGUACGUACUGGCUUAGCAAAAAAGAAAGAGAGCGAACUUGACUUCUUUCAAACUCAUUUUGUUUCCUAUUUAUUUAUAUGUCAAUCUUUUGAAUGGUUUUACUGGCCUGGCAACGAACUCUGUAUCAAAGGAAACUAGCUAUGCAUACAUAAAAUCAAAGAAGGUAGUGGGAAAACGGAGAAAAGAAGGUAGUGGGAAAACGGAAAGGCCCCUAGCCACUAUUCGAUUUCUAUUAUAGGCUGCGCUUAUGUAUCCNNNNNNNNNNNNNNNNNNNNNNNNNNNNNNNNNNNNNNNNNNNNNNNNNNNNNNNNNNNNNNNNNNNNNNNNNNNNNNNNNNNNNNNNNNNNNNNNNNNNNNNNNNNNNNNNNNNNNNNNNNNNNNNNNNNNNNNNNNNNNNNNNNNNNNNNNNNNNNNNNNNNNNNNNNNNNNNNNNNNNNNNNNNNNNNNNNNNNNNNNNNNNNNNNNNNNNNNNNNNNNNNNNNNNNNNNNNNNNNNNNNNNNNNNNNNNNNNNNNNNNNNNNNNNNNNNNNNNNNNNNNNNNNNNNNNNNNNNNNNNNNNNNNNNNNNNNNNNNNNNNNNNNNNNNNNNNNNNNNNNNNNNNNNNNNNNNNNNNNNNNNNNNNNNNNNNNNNNNNNNNNNNNNNNNNNNNNNNNNNNNNNNNNNNNNNNNNNNNNNNNNNNNNNNNNNNNNNNNNNNNNNNNNNNNNNNNNNNNNNNNNNNNNNNNNNNNNNNNNNNNNNNNNNNNNNNNNNNNNNNNNNNNNNNNNNNNNNNNNNNNNNNNNNNNNNNNNNNNNNNNNNNNNNNNNNNNNNNNNNNNNNNNNNNNNNNNNNNNNNNNNNNNNNNNNNNNNNNNNNNNNNNNNNNNNNNNNNNNNNNNNNNNNNNNNNNNNNNNNNNNNNNNNNNNNNNNNNNNNNNNNNNNNNNNNNNNNNNNNNNNNNNNNNNNNNNNNNNNNNNNNNNNNNNNNNNNNNNNNNNNNNNNNNNNNNNNNNNNNNNNNNNNNNNNNNNNNNNNNNNNNNNNNNNNNNNNNNNNNNNNNNNNNNNNNNNNNNNNNNNNNNNNNNNNNNNNNNNNNNNNNNNNNNNNNNNNNNNNNNNNNNNNNNNNNNNNNNNNNNNNNNNNNNNNNNNNNNNNNNNNNNNNNNNNNNNNNNNNNNNNNNNNNNNNNNNNNNNNNNNNNNNNNNNNNNNNNNNNNNNNNNNNNNNNNNNNNNNNNNNNNNNNNNNNNNNNNNNNNNNNNNNNNNNNNNNNNNNNNNNNNNNNNNNNNNNNNNNNNNNNNNNNNNNNNNNNNNNNNNNNNNNNNNNNNNNNNNNNNNNNNNNNNNNNNNNNNNNNNNNNNNNNNNNNNNNNNNNNNNNNNNNNNNNNNNNNNNNNNNNNNNNNNNNNNNNNNNNNNNNNNNNNNNNNNNNNNNNNNNNNNNNNNNNNNNNNNNNNNNNNNNNNNNNNNNNNNNNNNNNNNNNNNNNNNNNNNNNNNNNNNNNNNNNNNNNNNNNNNNNNNNNNNNNNNNNNNNNNNNNNNNNNNNNNNNNNNNNNNNNNNNNNNNNNNNNNNNNNNNNNNNNNNNNNNNNNNNNNNNNNNNNNNNNNNNNNNNNNNNNNNNNNNNNNNNNNNNNNNNNNNNNNNNNNNNNNNNNNNNNNNNNNNNNNNNNNNNNNNNNNNNNNNNNNNNNNNNNNNNNNNNNCAGCAAUUGACGGCUCAUUUGCUCUAUCCCUUUAUUCAGCAAUUGGAUAAGCUAGGACUGAAUAUAGCUUUGAACUGUAAACUAAGCAGAGAAGUAAGGGGCUGGAUAUAAGGCACUAAUGGCUAGAUUUCUUUCAAUGUCUUAGUAAUCUUUACCGGGGUCAGGUAAAACUAUAUAACAAAGAUUGAGGUUUUAGUGGCAGUGUGUUAAUGGAGAUUGAUUAUUGAAGUUAAGGGAAAAUGUAUAUCAGCUGUUCUAUAAGUGUAACCUUCUUUCGAUGUUGGUCCAGUAUUAAUAAAAGCAAGCUAUCGCACAGGGUUGCUACUCAUUUAUUUCAGGCCAAAACCUAAUCUAUGGUAUCUGACUAUGGCUGUACACCAAAAAGUCUAAAGGAUAAGUGGUCAAGUGGGUCUCCUUAGAAUUUGGCAAUCCUUUGAUUUAUACCCAAGCUGAGUCUCCGUACGGUGAUUGGCUAGACAUCUCGGUUCGAGGGCAAAGAAGUCAGUUCUCAUUUUGAAGCCUUGUGUAGCUAGUAAAUCCUCUCCUCUAUAAUAUUGGCAUACCCUUAGAUUUCCUUCGCUUCGUAAAGUCAACUACAAUGGAAAGAGUGAAAAAAGGAGAAUGGAAAGAGUGAAAAAAGGAGUUGAACCCAGUACUUGAUAGUUUCUUUCAUUUGAAUCUAGUUUAUGGAAUUUGGAUCUAGUACCCCAUUGCGAGGGAGUUGUUUUAUAGUCUCUGUCCCUUUCGUAUCGCCUUGACCGAAGAAAGAAAUCCGUUUUGCAAUGAUGAGGCUAAGGCACCUCACAUCAGACCUUGCUAACCUGCGAUACUAUCUAAUGGAUUGGUGGUUUAGGUUUCUCACUCACUUUGGUUUUAUGCCCUGCCUUUCUUUGACUUAUAACCAUAAGGUUAAUGGGCUUUGCCACACCUUAUCUUGAGAAACGAAAAGGCUGUUUAUUAGCGGCAUUGCUGAACCGAAUACUUCACCCCUUCCCUUAGUGGUAUGGGUGAAAGGAGUAGCUACCUAUUCCUUAGUGGGCUUAUGGGUGAAAGGAGUAGCUACCUAGAUGAAUAAAGGACUUACUUAUACCUUCCUUUGGCAACAUUAAAGAAAGCACUCUGCUCUAUAAAGCUAGCGAUACGAAUUCCCAUUGUUUCGUUCAAUUAUAUGGGCUACUUCAUUUUCAUUAUAGUACAAAAGCUUAAGCUGGGGAUGUUGUUCCUAUUAUGUGGGGAUGUUGUUCCUAUUAUGCAAUAAAAAGAGAACGCUGGGGAUGUUGUUCCUAUUAUGUAAUAAAAAGAGAACGCUGGGGAUGUUGUUCCUAUUAUGCAAUAAAAAGAGAACAAAGAAGCUCAACUGGAUUUCUAAGGUUAUAAAUGAUUCUAUUAAGUAGAAAAAUGAGAGUCCUGCAACGCUGGCGAGUUACCUCAUUGCAAGCAAGCACUGGUGCUACUGGAAUGGGCCUAUACCCAUAACCUUAGUAUCGGAAACCCGUGUAUGAGGUGAAGGUAAACCUACAAUUGGUCUUUGAACCUACUAUGAAUGCCAUUAAACCCACUCGGACAUCAGACAUUAGUUUACGCACCUAUAUAUCUUGUUUUGGAGAAAACUAAUACAUCAGUCAACAAGAAACAAAUACCUAAGUGAAAGAUUGCCUGUAAAGUAAUCUCGUGAAGAGGUAAUAUGGACCAUUAGAAGGAGCAAUAGGCUGGAUGAUCUAAGGUAAUAUGGACCAUUAGAAAGAGCAAUAGGCUGGAUCUCAUAAUAAGGACGAUAAUCAAAUAGCGGACACAACAAAGUACAAAAGCCUAGAAUAAGCUGUAAGUAUCUAAAAGGGCUUGGAGAAGACAACUCGCACCUCAACCAAUAAAAUGGGGAAUCGUUAUUCACCCGAUGAAUAAACUGCUUAAGAAAGAACUCACGACACAUGAUAGGAGCUCUAACCCUACCUAAUAAGAAUAAGGGGUUGUUUCAAUCCGCAUUCAAAAGGAGUCAUUUCGAAAAGCACUGUUAUUACACAAUGGAUUCAUUUCUCCUACUUUAUGCCGGAGUUAAGACAGCCUCCUUCCUAUUGGACAAUAGAUGAUGAUUGAACUCGCCCCCCGUAAAGUAUACCAGAGCACCAACUAUUCUGAAUUUCCAAUCAAAAGGAAGUGCUAGGAAUAAGGUCCCAGAUCCACAUAAUACGGUGGGUGCGAAUAAGAAAGAAGUGGGUGUGUGAAGAAAGUGGAUAAGAAGAAGAAAUUCCAGAAGUCAUGUUACCUGGAUGAGCUAAGGUAGCUCUAAGAAGUGGACAUCCGCUGUGUCUGCUGGAUUAAGGCGGAAUACUAUUCCCGUGAAAGAGGAAUCAUUGGCAGAAACACUUUAAGAAGCCCUAGAAAUAACGGAAUCGCUUGUUCAUUAAUGCCCUUAGAAGGAAUCAUUUAAUGCCCUGUUAGAAGGAAUCAUUGGAAAAAGGAGGAGACGCAGAAAAAAGGAGGAGACGCAGAUCGGCCGGGGUUCUUUCCAUAUAUAUAUAUAAAUAGUAAACAAAAGGGAAUGAGUUCACCAAAUAGACCGUUCGUAUAGACAUUUACUCGGCUUGGAUCGAUAACAAAAACAUAGAAAGCCUUAGUAAGGAACUGAUAUUGUGUUUUAAAAAGCAUUAAAACUAGAUGCACUCAUUUAUUAUGUGCUUUAUAGGCUUUCUUCGGAGCCCAGAAUUGAUGCUUAUUAGAGAAAUUACCACCCUACGUAAUAAGUUCCAUGUGUAUGUGCACACUUAAAGCUCGCCCCUUUGAAGGGUGUGGGAGGAAUAUAAGUCAUUGCUUAUGUAUCCUUUAUUUGGAGAUCUAAUGUCUGAGAUCAACGAGAACCACCUAUGAUUCUUUAUCAACCCAUCAGAUGCUAAUAAUGAAAAACUCAUGCUUUAGAAGCUGUCCUAUUAGCUAUUCUAGCCACCUAUUGUAUAUUUCAUACUUGGGAAAUGCUGUCCAAUCUGGGUCUUGAGUUCGGUAGUUCAGCCCUUUAAAAGCCACAGAGCUAUAGGUAGAAAACAUACAUACUUAUCUGAGUGCUUUGCUGAGAUGCAUCUUUCAUCUGGAUACGAUAAGUGGGUUAAUGGACUAUAUGGUGGACAGUUAUUCCCAUCGUAGCGUUGGAUGGUAGGAACUGACUUAUUGAAUGGAUUUGAUACUAUACUAUAAUGGAUUUGCUAUAAAUACUAUAGUUUGGGUCCAUAGCUUCUUUGUUGGAAUGUCCCGCUAACCGAACAUAUAUAUUGUAUUGAUUUGUUCAGAUGAAAGAAGAAAGUAGAGCUGAAGGAAGUGAUGCUAAGAAUAGCGACUUUUAGACUUCAAAUAGAUACUUAUCCAUUAGGUAUAUAAAUUCCAAGUGCUUCAGGGUUACAUACAAAUCCGUUAUGAAAGUGUUAUUCUUGCUUGUUUCCGGUUAGGAGGGAGGUCAGUCAGGUUCCGGUUAGGAGGGAGGUCAGUCAGGUUUCAUUACUUUUCCAGUAGGGUUAGCGCUUUAUGUUUGCUUGGUCGUUCGUGUCACCUACGUGCGGCUUGCACUAUUUCCUCUUCAGGGCCUACACUUGCCUUAGCUCAAGCCUUCUUACUACAAUACACAAAGCAGCUAAAAGAAAUCCACUACUUUGUUCAUCAAUCUGUUCAGCCACAGACUUCUUGCAUCUCCAUGCCCUUAACGAAGGUGCAUGCACUGAUUUCAUGGAGCUACAAACACCUCCACCGUGGGGAACGAAAUGAACUUAACUACACGUUCUUUUACCGGCGCAUUCCAGCGAAGCAAAAUGGAUAGCUCUUGCUUACUUAUAAGGAGCCCUGCAUAUAUUCUCCUCCGAUUCCGAUGAAUGACCCUAAAUGCCUUUUCCCCGUGCUCUUUCAAUGCAAAGCUUUAUGCAGUUUCAUUAUCCUAAGGGGAUAUACAAAGCCUGUUUCGAGAGGGGAAGGAAGAGGAGCACAACCGUAACCUUCGAAGCAAACAAAGCUUAGCGCUCUAAAAGCCCUAUGAUCCUGAGGGAGAGCCGGAAGUAUCGGAUAAGCUAGCAGUUUGAACCCAAAGGAAAGGCAGAGGUUUCUAAAGUGGUUGGAUUUUCCCAAGGCGGUAAAAGAAUAGGAUAGCUUGCUCUAUAGGCGGUAGGUCGGUGUAAUCAUUUUCUUAGUAUCAAAUGGAUUGCGCGCAAAGAAGAAGUUAGCCCCAUAUAGUCAUCAGUUUCAAGCCAGCGAGCUAGUCCAAAUCCGCUUUCUUUCGUUGACCAAGUUCAUCCUUUUUCUAAGGGUUUGAAAGGUGGUAAUAGACCUAAAGAAAGGGGUUGAGCUAUGGGGUUUCCUGACUUUUCUCUUACUAUUGCAGAAUGAAGCUAAACCCUUCCAUUCAUUGUAAUUUACUCGAGUGCCGGCUCAGUAGAAAGAAGGAUAUCCAUAGGGGUAAAGGGAAGCUAGAGAUAUGGACGCAAUUGCUUGAUUAGCGAGAACAUGAUCUCCUCGGGAAGCACUCGUUCCAGCUCAACAAAGGGGGUCCUCAUAGAAACAUAUAUAUAUAUAGUUAUACCAAAACAUAAAUGAUUAUGAGAAAUAGAAGCAGUUCUAAGUCAACUUAGCUCGAAAAGGAUUUAUUACUAGAAAAGAAAGACUAAUAUAAUGCGUGCAAAAGGCUGACCCCACAGGCUGACUAAAACUCUAUCGAAGCAUACAAAUUCGACUACUACUUGCUUAUUGCAGGGUCGUGAUGGACACUCUCUUCGUCUAGUCACUCUAUUAAGCUUUCGCUGCAAGUAUCUGGAAUGGGGUACGUAAAGAUUGCUAUUCAAAAGCAUCGUAAAGAAUUAUGCUUUCUAUCGGGGGAAUAGUCCGGAUAAGAUGACAAUUCUCUUUCCUUAUAUGGAUAAAGAUAUGGAUAAAGCCGUAUGUUAGGCCCACUUAUUAUUAAGGGUUGGUUGCUCGGUUUCCGCUCCUACUAAAAAAGAGUCAAUGGCAGGCUUUCAGCACCUUGCUCUUCGGGCUAAGGCAAAGAUGCUAACUUUGCAGUGGAAAGAGUAAUGAGAGGAAAGCGUUUCGAUAGGAACUCUUGAAAGCAUCACUUGCAAUUCCACCUUUUAUUGUUCUCUUGCCCCGUUGCCCAUUCAAGUAUAGAAAGAAGUUAGUGAUAAGGAAUGGCUUAGAACUCAUGAAGCUACGGAUGCAAUGCAACGUAUAUAUCGGACCAGUGCAACGUAUAUAUCGGACUUGAAACAGACAGAGAAAAGCUCUUCCAUCAGUGAAAAUAGCAUAGAGAGCAUCAUAUUAAGUUACAGAGCACUCCAGCCUUUUCUGUCCAUUCAUGUGCUGCUACUAGGGUCGUUAUGUUAUGCCACUUCCUUAGUUCCCCCCCCAUCCAAUCUUGUAUGCUCGUUACUGCCGUAAACAUAGUACUGAGUUUUGCCUGCUUCCGGCUUAGUUGGAGGAUCCUUCGGGUAAGUUUCCAAGUCUCUUCUGGAUUUAUGAAUUAUAGACUCAUAGAAUAAUAUUCUAUAAAUAAGGGUUAUUGUAUUUAUGAUAUUCUAUUUAUUAUGAUAUUCUAUUUAUUUGGAAACUAUGAUAUUUAUUGAAAUCUUAUUUCUUUCUUGGGCUUUGACCGGACAUGAAUGGACAUGCGAUAAGGUGCUCUCCCGACUCGGUUAAUGGGGUGGGCUCUUAAUCAUUCUCUGCUAGCUUUAGUAUCGGAGUACUUUGUACCAUCUAUUUUGGUGUGAUUGAUUUCUGUUCCAAAUCCUCGUCUUUCUUGAGAGUGAGUGAAUUCCAUUUAUAUCUUAUUAAAUACUAGGAAUCUGGAAGGUAGAUGGUGUGGGAAAGCAAGAAGGAAGAGAGCUAACCAGGGAAAGACCCAUGAGACAGUGUGAACUCUUUACUCCCUUCGCUAGCUCCACUCCUUGACCUAACUGAGGCUUACUCCCAGCUCUUUCUGUCUUCCCUCCCUGAACACCCAAAUACAGAAUACAAAUAAACCCAAUGAAACAGUGUGAACUCUUUACUCCCUUCGCUCUCCUUGUUCUUUCACUCCAAACAACCUUAACCAAGACAGCAGAAAAAGAACUCCCCAUUAAUAUAAGUAAGAAGACCUAACCGAGUCAACUACUAGAGAACUUGACUUUCACUCUUUACUCCCUUCGCUCUCAACAGAACAAAAAGAACUAAAUGAAACAGUGUAUAAGACCUCAGAGGAAUAACCCCAUUCAAGUGCUCUUGCUCUCUAGACCUAACCGAGUCAACCCCUAUCUUGCCUGUCCUGUGCCCUUAUUGGCUUUGGGAAAGAAUCAAUUCCUGAUGAUGCUAAUGCAGUGAUAGUUGUUGGUGACGAGAUAGUUUAUUGUGUUGGUGCUGUAGCUCCUAGUAAUAGAGUUGGGGAAAUAAGAUCUUUGCUAGGAUAAGAGGAGAGGUCUUUUACUACAUAACUUCUUACUGACGCGCAACGGGUUCACUGACGCUAUUAAUUAGGACCUGGUUAUAGUAGUAGUGACUUGUCUAGAAGUUGCUUGGCCCUGUCUUAUAGGCGGACUUUUGCCCCUCUUUGCUUUUAUUCUACAUUUGAUAUAGACAAUUCCGUAUUUCCUUACCGUAUAGUAUCAUAUGUUUUCUCAUAUUAGAUUUGUGAUUGGUUUAUUAGUGGUUUGCUUAGCGUAGUUGUAUGAAAAAACGGAUAUUGUGUUCUCUUAUUUAGUGGGUUCGUUUUGCUAUGACACCUGGGAUUCCUCUAGAAAUACAAGACCCUCGAUACAUGCUAUCAAUAUAGUAUUCAUUUACUUACUUAUUGGUUUGAUGCUACCACUGUCGGUCCUCAGCAAGGUUCCCUAACGAACGAAUGUCACACCCGAAAGUAACAAUCAACCGAUCUACUCUUUCUUAUACAUACCAAUACUGAUCUGAUCUACUCUUAUACAUAUUAAACAAGGGCAGGCUAAUCUGGUGGGCAGUUCUGGUGGCUAACAGGUACAAUCAAUAAUGAAAGUCAGCUUGGAAGCUAAUGAGCAAGGCUCGGACUACUAUGGGUGUUGUUCUAAUCCAUUGGGGCGUCUACCCAUUCUGUUACUGCUUGGUGUUAUUCCUAUAUACUACCCUAUUGUACUAUGUGUUUAUUCUUUUGGUGUUCACAUCGUCUAAGAAUUCCAAAAGGAGCCUAGGCCCUAUUGCGAAAUACAGAUGUUAGAUCACGAGCCUACGCCUGAUAGGCAUGGUUGUAAGAAGAAGAGACUGGAGUUGCGGUCUCUCCGGUAGUAGUCAAAGUCCCAGUUCCAAGUUAAUGUAGUAUCAGUAGAAUCAAAGCUAGGUUAGUAAGAUCAAUAGCCAGGAAAGGAAGAACUGGAAAGGCAUACUCACAGGUGCAAUACAUAAUGAAGUGUCAAUGGAACCAAUACGGAUUAGGUCCUCCGUAAAGUCAGAUUGAGUCUAAGGGAGGGUAGGCUAGGAUCAAGUAAGGGCAAGACCUUAUUUACAGGCUAUUUCGAAUAGGAGUUAGUGAACCACAGACUAAGGUAAGGGAUAGUUGGAACGAGAUCGAGGAACGGCAGCUUUCAAAGUCAAACUCAAAGACGGGGAGACAUAGAAUGAUAUAAAGUAUGGGCCAAGCAACGGGAUGAGUCAAGUAAGGAGGUUUCAACAGGCAAUGAGGUUAUAGGUGACUUUCCGGCUCUCUUAUAUUCGUUUUUCAAGCCAUGCAGGAUUUGACUAUGAUUAUAGGAAGUUGUACACUCAAUGAUGCUUAUAGGAAGUUGUACACUCAAUGAGAUUAUUUAGAGUAUGCUGUUGUCCUAAUGGGAGUGAAAGUGUUGGUUGUGAAGAGAGAUUCUUUCCAUGCGCCCCAUUACGAGAGACUUCAGCUAGAGAUGAAAGUACUAACUCAUCGUACUUAUGCACACUGAUCCUGCGCAAGGUAAUACAUAUAGAAUAUGACUUUAGCAAGCGCCCUGGUAGGAAGUGGAGAAGAUAGCUAAAUUCAAUGAAACUAUGUAAGUAAUAAAAUAGCAAGAGAACAAGCCAGAUAAAGAAGAAAGUAUUCCAGUAUAAUAGCAUUCGGCCCAUAUUCCAUAGUUAGGGAAAGUGAACAGUGAGUUGUGAGUUCGCCCUAUAUACGCGAUAGUGAGUUUUUUCCUUCCAGCUAACAUGUCUUUUCUUCUAGUUUCUUUCUCGUUGUUGUAACUUAAUGGCUUGUACGAAUACGUGAGAGGAAGGCUAUCUCCCUUCUAUCUAUAUUUCCUUGUCCAUAUCUCCUUAGUCGUCUAUAUCUCCUCAAUUGCUAAAGAGUCUCCAAUUCUGCUGAUGGAAGCACAAAAAAUAGAAGUGGGACACUCAUCUCCAAUGCUUCUGGAAGUUAUUCCCUCUCCCCCUUUAUCAAAGCCCUCCUCUGCUCCGGAGGGUAACAUCUUCUUAUUCUUAUAGAAUUUCAUCCACCUUAGCCCGGGUUGAGAGAAAGGCUAAAACAGGACGUGGUGAUAGUACUAGAGCAAGAAACCCUGGUGUUCUAGAGUGUUGAAUAAGUCCGGCGGUUAAUGAGCAAGUCCGUAUAGUUGCACUUUCCGAGCACCCAAACUAGACUUGGACCACACCUUGUCUAGAGUGAAGAGUCAAUAGGCAAGUAUAGUGGACUUCCCGCUCCUUCGCAUACUAAGGAGUUUCCAGGGGGUCAGUUCAAUUAAGUAGCCUGUUCAAUUAAGUAUUUGGAGUUGCCUUGUAUCACUGAUAUAGAAGACUAAACCAAUCAUAAUUUCACUCUGUAUUUGACGGUCUCAGAAUUUCACUAAGUAGUAACACCUCUGCACUAACAGUGUAGUAUACGCUUGGUUUCUCCUUUUAGAAUAGGGAGUUUCAGGCGGUUACUU
Molecule: long non-coding RNA, 59487 nt
Filed under: Musa acuminata (dwarf banana)
Lineage: Eukaryota; Viridiplantae; Streptophyta; Magnoliopsida; Zingiberales; Musaceae
Description: long non-coding RNA (MACU_LNC007629)
Source: RNAcentral